GCUGGCAGGCUAGUCGGUAGUCCGCGAGCCAUAGUUCCGGCCUCGUCUCCCCCGAGUACUUUGUGAUGGUAGUCGGGGUUCGGAACCGGGUCGAGAACGGCGCCCGUCGUAUGGCCCGGCUGAAAGCCUGCGGACCGGGUGGUUCGGGCGUGGGGCUCUGAUCCUCCCCGCUGUCGUAGCGUCCCCCACGCAUGGGGUGGUGGCCUCGGCGCACCCUCUCGUCAAGGUGGGCUUGACGGUUGCGGUGGCGGUGCUCGUUGCCGAGGCGACCCGGGGCCGCAGGCGCCGUGUUGCGCGUGCGCCCGGUGUGGACCGAGGCUUCCCGCACGAAUCUGGAAGUCGCGGCGCGAUGCUCCGAGGGGUACCCCUGCCUUCGGGAGGCAGAGCUUUCGGCCCGUCGGACCGCGGCAUCCUCCAGGAGAUUCUUGAGCUCUCCCUGGAUACGCCGCCCUUUGGUGGUCGAUGGUUCCGGCAUCGCACGGAGUAGUAUUGCUGCUGUAGCCAGGUUCUGGCCGACCCCACUGGAAACCGGUGGCGGCCUUGUCCUGACGUCGUCGGCAACGUGGUGCUGGAUGCCCUGGGGUAGAUGACGCGCUUCUCCGGCCGGAGCUUGGUUUGCCCAUUCCUGCCCGAUGUUCCGCCGGAACUGCUCAAGUGUUCCUGCUCCCUCGUCGAGCCUGGCCUGCAUCUCGCGGAUUUGCUCGAGCCGUGCGUCCUGACCCCCCGCAGGGACUGGGACCACAGCUAGCUCCCGAAGGAUGUCAAUGCGAGGCGCAGGCCUAGGGGGAUCGUCGUUUUCCAGCACACCAAGAUGGUUGCCUUCACCAGGACCCCCUAGAUCGACGUGGAAACAUUCACGACUUGGGUCGCAGUCCUCGUCGCCGAAGCUUGAAAGGGAAAUGUGCCUUUGGGCCAUUUCUAAGUGUUUUGGUGAUUUAGUGUCCAACACAAGUGCCUAAGUGUAAAAAGGUGGACAAAGUACAAAUCAAGAAUUAAGGUAUGUUUCUCAGACUUAGUACAUUGUUUUAUGGACUAAUGUAUUGUGUCUAAGUGCUGGAAACAGGAAAAAUCCAAUUGGAAAUGUCUUGGCUCGAGCAGCCAAGAAUCUGCUAAGUCUGGGAGCACCGGACUGUCCGGUGGGUCACCGGACUGUCCGGUGGUGCACCGGACAGUGUCCGGUGGUGCACCGGACAGUGUCCGGUGCGCCAGGCUGACUCGGCGUGAACUCGGCGCUCUCGAGAAUUCGCCGACGGCGUACGGCUAAAAUUCACCGGACUGUCCGGUGUGCACCGGACUGUCCGGUGAGCCAACGGUCGGCCGGGCCAACGGUCGGCCGCGCGAUCUGCGCGUGACACGUGGCCGAGCCAACGGCUAGAAGGGGGCACCGGACUGUCCGGUGUGCACCGGACAUGUCCGGUGCACCAACGGAUCUCUGGCGGGCAACGGUCGGCUGCGACAUUUAAGGAAGGUAAUCGGGCACCGGACAGUGUCCGGUGUGCACCGGACUGUCCGGUGCACCCGACGACAGAAGGCAAGAUUGGCCUUCUGGAUUUGCUCUCAAUGGCUCCUAGCUGCCUUGGGGCUAUAAAAGGGACCCCUAGGCACAUGGAGGAGAACACCAAGCAUUCCUACAACAUUCCUAAGCACCAAGACAUCGAUUCCGCGCAUUUGGUUCAUUGUGAUAGCAUCUAGAGCUCUUGUUGUGUUGUGAACUCAUUGAGUGGUGUUGCGAGCUCUUGUUGCGACUUGUGUGCGUGCUGUUGCUCUGAUUUUGAGUCUUGUGUGCGUUGCUAGUUCCCUCCCUUACUCCGUAUUUCUUUGUGAAUCUCAAGUGUAAGGGCGAGAGACUCCAAGUUGUGGAGAUUCCUCACAAACGGGAUAUUGAAAGGAAAAGCAUAACACUGUGGUAUUCAAGUUGAUCAUUGGAUCACUUGAGAGGAGUUGAGUGCAACUCUCGUCCGUUGGGACGCCACAACGUGGAGUAGGCAAGUUUUGUACUUGGCCGAACCACGGGAUAAACCACUGUGUCUUCUCUGUGUUGAUCUUUUGUGGUAUUGUGUUUUGUUGAGACUCAUCUCUAGCCACUUGGCGAUUAUUGUGCUAACACUUAACAAGUUUUUGUGGCUAUAAGUUUAAGUUUCACAGGAUCACCUAUUCACCCCCCCCUCUAGGUGCUCUCAAUUGGUAUCAAAGUCGUUCUCUUCACAAAGGGACUAACCGCCCGAAGAGAUGGAUCCUAAAGGGAAGGGAAUCGUGAUCAAAGACAAGGAGAAGGAGUCCUUCGUCAACGAGCCAAGGGAUGACAAGUCCAACGACUCAGGCUUGGGCCACAGACGCAAAGAUGGGAAGAAGAAGAAGACAAGACGCAUCAAGGAGAUCGUCUACUACGACAGCGAUGAGUCUACUUCCUCCCAAAAGGACGACGACCACAACAAAUAUGAGAGAAAGAAACCGGUCAAUUCGAACUUUUCUUUUGAUUACUCUCGUAUUCCUCAAAGUACUAAUGCUCAUUUAUUAUCUAUUCCACUUGGUAAACCUCCUCAUUUUGAUGGAGAGGACUACGGAUUUUGGAGUCACAAAAUGCGUAGUCACUUGUUCUCUCUCCAUCCUAGCAUAUGGGAGAUUGUAGAAAGUGGAAUGCACUUUGAUAGUACGGAUAGUCCCAUGUUUAUUAAUGAACAGAUUCAUAAAAAUGCACAAGCUACUACUGUGUUGCUAGCCUCUUUGUGCAGGGACGAGUACCAUAAGGUGAGCGGCUUGGACAAUGCCAAGCAGAUCUGGGACACCCUCAAGAUCUCUCAUGAGGGGAAUGAUGUCACCUUGCUCACCAAGAUGGAGUUGGUGGAGGGCGAGCUUGGACGGUUCGCAAUGAUAAGGGGCGAGGAGCCAACUCAAACAUACAACCGGCUCAAGACCUCGUCCGCCUAAUGCUAAGGUCCUUUACCGUUCUUGAUCCUCAUUUGGUGAACAAUAUUCGUGAAAAUCCUAGGUACACCAAGAUGUCGCCCGAAGAAGUUCUGGGGAAGUUCGUAAGCAGGCGAAUGAUGAUCAAGGAGGCAAGAUAUGUGGACGACGCGUUGAACGGUCCUAUUCAUGAGCCUCAACCCAUUGCUCUCAAGGCAACGAGGAGCAAGGAGGCACUACCGAGCAAGGUGGCGCAAGUUGAGGCGGCCGGGCUAAAUAAUGAGGAGAUGGCCCUCAUCAUUAAGCGCUUCAAGACGACGCUUAAAGGUCGCAAGGGACAGCCAAGCAAGACCAAGACAAAGGAGAAGCGCUCAUGCUUCAAAUGUGGUAAGAUUGGUCAUUUCAUUGCUAACUGUCCCGAUAAUGAAAGUGACCAGGAAAAGGGGAACAAAAGGGAGAAGAAGAAGCAUUACAAGAAGGCCAAGGGCGAGGCACAUAUGGGAAAGGAGUGGGAUUCGGAUUGCUCCUCCUCCGACUCCGACAAUGAAGGACUCGCCGCCACCGCCUUCAACAAGUCAUCCCUCUUCCCCAACGAGCGUCACACUUGCCUUGAAUGAGUUGAUUGAUGCUUUGAAUGACAAGAAUAGAUUACUAGAAAAACAAGAGGAUCUUUUAUAUGAGGAGCAUGAUAAAUUUGUUAGUGCACAAAAUUCUCUUGCUCUAGAAAUUAAAAGGAAUGAAAUGCUCUCUAGUGAAUUAUCUACUUGUCAUGAAUCCAUCUCUAAAUUAAAAAGUGUUAAUAAUGAUUUGAAUGCUAAGUUAGAAAUAGCUAGUAAAUCAACAUCUUGUGUAGAAAUUGUUGAAACUUGCAAUAGGUGUAAAGAUUUUGACAUUGAUGCUUGUAGUGAACACCUAGUUUCAAUUUCCAAGCUUAAUGAUGAAUUGGCUAGUCUUAAUGCUCAACUUAAGACUAGCAAGAAUGAUUUUGAUAAGCUAAAAUUUGCAAGGGAUGCCUACACGAUUGGUAGACACCCCUCAAUUAAGGAUGGACUUGGCUUCAAGAGGGAAGCCAAGAACUUAACAAGCCAUAAGGCUCCCAUCUCCACCAAGGAGAAAGGGAAGUCCCCUAUGGCAAGUAGUACAAAAAGGAACCAUGCUUUUAUGUAUCAUGAUAGGAGACAAACUAGAAAUGCUUAUAGGAAUCAUAAUGCUUAUGAUGAUUUUGACUCUCAUGCCAUGUUUGCUUCUAGUUCUUCCUAUAUGCAUGGUAGAAAUAUGUCUAGGAGAAAUGCUAUUCAUCAUGUGCCUAAAAAGAAUAUUAUUCAUGCUCCUAGGAAAGUAGUGAAUGAACCUUCUACAAUUUAUUGUGCUUUAAAUGCUUCCUUUGCUAUUUGUAGAAAGGAUAGGAAAAUAAUUGCUAGGAAGUUAGGGGCAAAAUGCAAGGGAGACAAAACUUGCAUUUGGGUCCCUAAGGAUAUUUGCACUAACCUUAUAGGACCCAACAUGAGUUGGGUACCUAAGACCCAAGCCUAAAUUUGCCUUGCAGGUUUAUGCAUCCGGAGGUUCAAGCUGGAUUAUUGAUAGCGGAUGCACAAACCAUAUGACGGGGGAGAAGAAGAUGUUCACCUCCUACGUCAAGAAUAAGGAUUCCCAAGAUUCAAUUAUAUUCGGUGAUGGGAAUCUAGGCAAGGUAAAAGGGUUAGGUAAAAUUGCAAUUUCUAAUGAGCACUCCAUAUCUAAUGUGUUUUUAGUAGAGUCUCUUGGAUAUAAUUUGCUAUCUGUUAGUCAAUUAUGCAACAUGGGGUAUAACUGUCUAUUUACAAAUGUAGAUGUGUCUGUCUUUAGAAGAAGUGAUGGUUCACUAGCUUUUAAGGGUGUAUUAGACGGCAAACUUUAUUUAGUUGAUUUUGCAAAAGAAGAGGCCGGUCUAGAUGCAUGCUUAAUAGCUAAGACUAGCAUGGGCUGGCUGUGGCAUCGCCGCUUAGCACAUGUGGGGAUGAAGAACCUUCACAAGCUUCUAAAGGGAGAACACGUGAUAGGUUUGACUAACGUGCAAUUCGAAAAAGAUAGACCUUGUGCAGCUUGUCAAGCAGGUAAACAAGUGGGAGGAACGCAUCACAACAAGAAUGUGAUGACCACUUCAAGACCCCUGGAGCUGCUGCAUAUGGACCUCUUCGGACCUGUCGCCUAUCUGAGCAUAGGAGGGAGUAAGUAUGGUCUAGUUAUUGUUGAUGACUUUUCCCGCUUCACUUGGGUGUUCUUUUUGCAGGAUAAGUCUGAAACCCAAGGGACCCUCAAGCGCUUCCUCAGGAGAGCUCAAAAUGAGUUUGAGCUCAAGGUGAAGAAGAUUAGGAGCGACAACGGGUCCGAGUUCAAGAACCUUCAAGUAGAGGAAUUCCUUGAGGAGGAAGGGAUCAAGCACGAGUUAUCCGCUCCCUACACGCCACAGCAAAAUGGUGUGGUAGAGAGGAAGAACAGGACGCUCAUCGAUAUGGCGAGGACGAUGCUAGGAGAGUUCAAGACCCCCGAGUGCUUUUGGACGGAAGCCGUGAACACGGCUUGCCACGCCAUCAACAGGGACUACCUUCAUCGCCUCCUCAAGAAGACGUCGUAUGAGCUUCUAACCGGUAACAAACCCAAUGUAUCUUACUUUCGUGUAUUUGGGAGCAAAUGCUACAUUCUAGUGAAGAAGGGUAGAAAUUCUAAGUUUGCUCCCAAAGCUGUAGAAGGGUUUUUGUUAGGUUAUGACUCAAAUACAAAGGCGUAUAGAGUCUUCAACAAAUCAUCGGGUUUGGUUGAAGUCUCUAGCGACGUUGUAUUUGAUGAGACUAAUGGCUCUCCAAGAGAGCAAGUUGUUGAUUGUGAUGAUGUAGAUGAAGAAGAUGUUCCGUCGGCCGCUAUACGAACCAUGGCGAUUGGAGAAGUGCGGCCACAGGAACAAGAUGAACGAGAUCAACCUUCUUCCUCAACAACGGUGCAUCCCCCAACUCAAGACGAUGAACAGGUUCAUCAACAUGAGGCGUGUAAUCAAGGGGGAGCACAAGAUGAUCAUGCGAUGGAGGAAGAAGCGCAACCGGCACCUCCAACCCAAGUUCGAGCGGUGAUUCAAAGGGAUCAUCCCGUCGACCAAAUAUUGGGUGACAUUAGUAAGGGAGUAACUACUCGAUCACGAUUAGUUAAUUUUUGUGAGCAUUACUCCUUUGUCUCUUCUAUUGAGCCUUUCAGGGUAGAGGAGGCCUUGCUAGAUCCGGAUUGGGUAUUGGCCAUGCAGGAGGAACUCAACAACUUCAAGCGCAAUGAAGUUUGGACACUGGUGCCUCGUCCCAAGCAAAAUGUUGUGGGAACCAAGUGGGUGUUCCGCAACAAACAGGACGAGCACGGGGUGGUGACGAGGAACAAGGCUCGACUUGUGGCAAAAGGUUAUGCCCAAGUCGCAGGUUUGGACUUUGAGGAGACGUUUGCUCCUGUGGCUAGGCUAGAAUCAAUUCGUAUCUUGCUAGCAUAUGCCGCUCACCAUUCUUUCAGGUUGUUCCAAAUGGAUGUGAAGAGCGCUUUCCUCAACGGGCCAAUCAAGGAGGAGGUGUACGUGGAGCAACCCCCUGGCUUCGAGGAUGAACGGUACCCCGACCACGUGUGUAAGCUCUCUAAGGCGCUCUAUGGACUUAAGCAAGCCCCAAGAGCAUGGUAUGAAUGCCUUAGAGACUUUCUAAUUGUUAAUGCUUUCAAGGUUGGGAAAGCCGAUCCAACUCUUUUUACUAAGACAUGUGAUGGUGAUUUGUUUGUGUGCCAAAUUUAUGUUGAUGACAUAAUAUUUGGUUCUACUAACCAAAAGUCUUGUGAAGAGUUUAGCAGGGUGAUGACGCAGAAAUUCGAGAUGUCGAUGAUGGGCGAGUUGAACUACUUCCUUGGGUUCCAAGUGAAGCAACUCAAAGACGGCACCUUCAUCUCCCAAACGAAGUACACGCAAGAUCUGCUAAAGCGGUUUGGGAUGAAGGACGCUGAAAGGGAAUUAGGCUUACACCUAGUUCCUAAAUAAUUUUGGUGGUUGAAUUGCCCAACACAAAUAAUUGGACUAACUAGUUUGCCCAAGUGUGUAGAUUAUACAGGUGUAAAAGGUUCACCCUCAGUCAAUAAAAAGACCAAGUUUUGGAUUCAAUAAAGGAGCAAAGGGGCAACCGAAGGCACCCCUGGUCUGGCGCACCGGACUGUCCGGUGUGCCACCGGACAGUGAACAGUACCUGUCCGGUGCACCAGGGGACUCAGACUCAAACUCGCCACCUUCGGGAAUUUCCAGGGCGACUCGGCUAUAAUUCACCGGACUGUCCGGUGUACACCGGACAGUGUCCGGUGCGCCAAGGGAGGUCGGCCUCAGGAACUCGCCAGCUUCGGGAAACGCCAACGGCUAGCCCGCUAAAAUUCACCGGACUGUCCGGUGUGCACCGGACUGUCCGGUGCGACUCCGAAGCAACGGUCAUCUCCGCGCCAACGGCUCUCUGCCGCGCAUUAAAUGCGCGCUCUGCGCGCGCAGAAGUCAGAAUCGCCCAUGCUGGCACACCGGACAUCAAACAGUACCUGUCCGGUGUGCACCGGACACCCAGGCGGGCCCACAAGUCAGAAGCUCCAACGGUCAGAAUCCAACGGCAGUGAUGACGUGGCAGGGGGCACCGGACUGUCCGGUGUGCACCGGACUGUCCGGUGCGCCAUCGAACAAACAGCCUUCCAACGGCCACUUUUGGUGGUUGGGGCUAUAAAUACCCCAACCACCCCACCAUUCAUUGCAUCCAAGUUUUCCACUUCUCAACUACUACAAGAGCUCUAGCAUUCAAUUCUAGACACACUAAAGAGAUCAAAUCCUCUCCAAUUCCACACAAAGCCCUAGUGACUAGUGAGAGUGAUUUGCCGUGUUCAUUUGAGCUCUUGCGCUUGGAUUGCUUCUUUUCUUUCUCACUUGUUCUUGAGAUCACAACUCCAUUGUAAUCAAGGCAAGAGGCACCAAUUGUGUGGUGGCCCUUGCGGGGAAGUUUUGUUCCCGGCUUUGAUUUGAGAAGAGAAGCUCACUCGGUCCAAGGGACCGUUUGAGAGAGGGAAGGGUUGAAAGAGACCCGGCCUUUGUGGCCUCCUCAACGGGGAGUAGGUUUGCAAGAACCGAACCUCGGUAAAACAAAUCUCCGUGUCUCACUUGCUUAUUCGCUUGGGAUUUGUUUUGCGCCCUCUCUCUCGGACUCGUUUAUAUUUCUAACGCUAACCCGGCUUGUAGUUGUGUUUAUAUUUGUAAAUAACAGUUUCGCCCUAUUCACCCCCCCUCUAGGCGACUAUCAAUUGGUAUCAAAGCCCGGUGCUUCUUUAGAGCCUAACCGCUCGAAGUGAUGUCGGGAGAUCACGCCAAGAAGGAGAUGGAGACCGGCGAAAAGCCCACUACAAGCCACGGGAGCACUUCAUCGGAAGAGUCCCGCACCAAAAGGAGGGAGAAGAAGAAGAGCUCCUCCAACAAAGGGAAAGAGAAGAAAUCUUCUUCUCACCACAAAGAGAAGAAGGAAAAAUCUUCUUCCCACAAGCCGCAUCGGAAAGGCGACAAGCACAAGAGGAUGAGGAAGGUGGUCUACUACGAGACCGACACUUCAUCAACAUCGACCUCCGACUCCGAUGCGCCCUCCGUCACUUCUAAGCGCCAAGAGCGCAAGAAGUAUAGUAAGAUCCCCCUACGCUACCCUCGCAUUUCCAAACAUACACCUUUACUUUCCGUCCCAUUAGGCAAACCACCAACUUUUGAUGGUGAAGAUUACGCUAGGUGGAGCGAUUUAAUGCGAUUUCAUCUAACCUCGCUCCACAAAAGUAUAUGGGAUGUUGUUGAGUUUGGUGCACAGGUACCAUCGGUAGGGGAUGAAAACUAUGAUGAGGAUGAGGUGGCCCAAAUCGAGCACUUUAACUCUCAAGCAACAACAAUACUCCUCGCCUCUCUAAGUAGAGAGGAGUAUAACAAAGUACAAGGGUUGAAGAGCGCCAAGGAGAUUUGGGAUGUGCUCAAAACCGCGCACGAAGGAGACGAACUCACCAAGAUCACCAAGCGGGAAACGAUCGAGGGGGAGCUCGGUCGGUUCCGGCUUCGCAAAGGGGAGGAGCCACAACACAUGUACAACCGGCUCAAGACCUUGGUGAAUCAAGUGCGCAACCUCGGGAGCGUAAAAUGGGAUGACCACGAGAUGGUUAAGGUUAUUCUAAGUUCUCUUAUUUUCCUUAACCCUACUCAAGUUCAAUUAAUCCGUGGUAAUCCUAGAUAUACUAAAAUGACCCCCGAGGAAGUUAUCGGGAAUUUUGUGAGUUUUGAAUGCAUGAUCGAAGGCUCGAGGAAGAUCAACGAGCUUGAUGAUGCCACCACAUCCGAAGCUCAACCCGUUGCAUUCAAAGCAACGGAGGAGAAGAAGGAGGAGUCUACACCAAGUCGACAACCAAUCGACGCCUCCAAGCUUGACAAUGAGGAGAUGGCGCUCGUCAUCAAGAGCUUCCGCCAAAUCCUCAAACAAAGGAGGGGGAAAGACUACAAGUCCCGCUCCAAGAAGGUUUGCUACAAAUGUGGUAAGCCCGGUCAUUUUAUUGCUAAAUGUCCUAUAUCUAGUGACAGUGACCGAGGCGACGACAAGAAGGGGAGAAGAAAGGAGAAGAAAAGGUACUACAAGAAGAAGGGCGGCGAUGCCCAUGUUUGUCAGGAAUGGGAUUCCGACGAGAGCUCAAGCGACUCCUCCGACGACGAGGACGCCGCCAACAUCGCCGUCACCAAGGGACUUCUCUUCCCCAACGUCGGCCACAAGUGCCUCAUGGCAAAGGACGGCAAAAAGAAGGUUAAAUCUAAAUCCUCCACAAAAUAUGAAUCCUCUAGUGAUGACAAUGCUAGUGAUGAGGAAGAUAAUUUGCGUACUCUUUUUGCCAACCUUAACAUGGAACAAAAAGAGAAAUUAAAUGAAUUGAUUAGUGCUAUUCAUGAAAAAGAUGAUCUUUUGGACUCCCAAGAGGAUUGUCUAAUUAAAGAAAACAAGAAACAUGUUAAGGUUAAAAAGGCUUAUGCUCUAGAAGUAGAAAAAUGUGAAAAAUUAUCUAGUGAGCUAAGCACUUGCCGUGAGAUGAUUGACAACCUUAGGAAUGAAAAUGCUGUUUUAAAUGCUAAGGUUGAUUCACAUGUUUGUAAUGUUUCAAUUCCCAAUCUUAGAGAUGAUAAUGUUGACUUGCUUGCUAAGAUUGAUGAAUUGAAUGUAUCUAUUGCUAGCCUUAGAUUAGAGAAUGAAAAUUUAAUUGCUAAGGCUAAAGAUUUUGAUGUUUGCAAAGUUACAAUUUCCAAUCUUAAAGAUAAAAAUGAUAUUCUUCAUGCUAAGAUUGUGGAACUUGAUUCUUGCAAACCCUCUACAUCUACCAUUGAGCAUGUCACUAUUUGUGCUAGAUGUAGAGAUAUUGAUGUUAAUGUUAUUCAUGAUCACAUGAUCUUAAUUAAGCAACAAAAUGAUCAUAUAGCUAAACUUGAUGCUAAAAUUGCCGAGCACAACUUAGAAAAUGAGAAAUUUAAAUUUGCUCGUAGCAUGCUUUAUAAUGGGAGACGCCCUGGCAUUAAGGAUGGCAUUGGCUUCCAAAGGGGAGACAAUGUCAAAAUUAGUGCCCCUCCUAAAAGAUUGUCUAAUUUUGUUAAGGGCAAGGCUCCCAUGCCUCAGGAUAACGAGGGUUACAUUUUAUACCCUGCCGGUUAUCCCGAGGACAAAAUUAGGAAAAUUCAUUCUAGGAAGUCUCACUCUGGUUCUAACCAUGCUUUUAUGUAUAAGAGUGAGACAUCUAGUUCUAGGCAACCAACCCGUGCCAAGUUGCCUAAGAAGAAAAUUCCUAAUGCAUCAAAUGAUCAUGCCAUUUCUUUUAAAACUUUUGAUGCUUCUUAUGUGCUUACUAACAAAUCCGGCAAGGUCGUUGCCAAGUUUGUUGGGGGCAAACACAAGGGCUCCAAGACUUGUGUCUGGGUACCCAAAGUUCUUGUUUCUAAUGCCAAAGGACCCAAAACAGUUUGGGUACCUAAAGUCAAGAACUAAAUUUGUUUUGUAGGUUUAUGCAUCCGGGGGCUCAAGUUGGAUACUCGACAGCGGGUGCACAAACCACAUGACCGGGGAGAAAAGGAUGUUCUCCUCAUAUGAGAAAAACCAAGAUCCCCAACGAGCUAUCACAUUCGGGGAUGGAAAUCAAGGUUUGGUCAAAGGAUUGGGUAAAAUUGCUAUAUCUCCUGACCAUUCUAUUUCCAAUGUUUUUCUUGUAGAUUCUUUAGAUUACAACUUGCUUUCUGUUUCCCAAUUAUGUCAAAUGGGCUACAACUGUCUUUUUACUGAUGUAGGUGUCACUGUCUUUAGAAGAAGUGAUGAUUCAAUAGCAUUUAAGGGUGUGUUAGAGGGUCAGCUAUACUUAGUAGAUUUUGAUAGAGCUGAACUUGACACAUGCUUAAUUGCUAAGACUAACAUGGGUUGGCUCUGGCACCGCCGACUAGCCCAUGUUGGGAUGAAGAAUCUUCAUAAGCUUCUAAAGGGAGAGCACAUUUUAGGAUUAACAAAUGUUCAUUUUGAGAAAGACAGGAUUUGUAGCGCAUGCCAGGCAGGGAAGCAAGUUGGAGUCCAUCAUCCACACAAGAACAUCAUGACGACCGACAGGCCGCUUGAGCUACUCCACAUGGAUCUAUUCGGCCCGAUUGCUUACAUAAGCAUCGGCGGGAGUAAGUAUUGUCUUGUUAUUGUGGAUGAUUAUUCUCGCUUCACUUGGGUAUUCUUUUUACAGGAAAAAUCUCAAACCCAAGAGACCUUAAAGGGAUUCUUGAGAAGGGCUCAAAAUGAGUUCGGCUUAAGGAUCAAGAAAAUAAGAAGCGACAACGGGACGGAGUUCAAGAACUCACAAAUUGAAGGCUUCCUUGAGGAGGAGGGCAUCAAGCAUGAGUUCUCCUCUCCCUACACGCCACAACAAAAUGGUGUAGUGGAGAGAAAGAAUCGAACUCUAUUGGACAUGGCAAGAACCAUGCUUGAUGAGUACAAGACACCGGACCGGUUUUGGGCCGAAGCAGUCAACACCGCCUGCUACGCCAUCAACCGGUUAUAUCUUCACCGAAUCCUCAAGAAGACAUCAUAUGAACUCCUAACCGGUAAAAAGCCCAACAUUUCAUACUUUAGAGUUUUUGGUAGCAAAUGCUUUAUUCUUGUUAAAAGAGGUAGAAAAUCUAAAUUUGCUCCUAAAACUGUAGAAGGCUUUUUACUUGGUUAUGACUCAAACACAAGGGCAUAUAGGGUCUUUAACAAGUCCACUGGACUAGUUGAAGUCUCAUGUGACGUUGUGUUUGAUGAAACUAACGGCUCUCAAGUAGAGCAAGUUGAUCUUGAUGAGAUAGGUAAUGAAGAGGCUCCAUGCAUAGCGCUAAGGAACAUGUCCAUUGGGGACGUGUGUCCUAAGGAAUCCGAAGAGCCUUCAAGAGCACAAGAUCAACCAUCCUCCACCACGCAAGCAUCUCCACCAACUCAAAAUGAUGAUGAGGCUCAAGUUGAUGAAGGACAAAAUCAAGAAGAUAAGCCACCUCAAGAUGAUGGCAAUGAUCAAGGGGGAGAUGCAAAUGAUCAAGAAAAGGAGGAUGAGGAAGAACCAAGGCCGCCACACCCAAGAGUCCACCAAGCAAUCCAACGAGAUCACCCCGUCGACACCAUCCUCGGCGACAUUCAUAAGGGGGUAACCACUCGAUCUCGUGUUGCACAUUUUUGUGAACAUUACUCUUUUGUUUCCUCUAUUGAGCCACACAGGAUAGAGGAAGCAUUACAAGAUUCGGAUUGGGUGGUGGCGAUGCAAGAGGAGCUCAACAAUUUCACAAGAAACGAGGUAUGGCACUUAGUUCCACGUCCUAACCAAAAUGUUGUAGGAACCAAAUGGGUCUUCCGCAACAAGCAAGAUGAGCAUGGUGUGGUGACAAGGAACAAAGCUCGACUUGUGGCCAAAGGAUACUCCCAAGUCGAAGGUUUGGAUUUCGGUGAAACUUAUGCACCCGUAGCUAGGCUUGAGUCAAUUCGCAUAUUAUUAGCCUAUGCUACUUACCAUGGCUUUAAGCUUUAUCAAAUGGACGUGAAAAGUGCUUUCCUCAAUGGACCAAUCAAGGAAGAGGUCUAUGUUGAGCAACCUCCCGGCUUUGAAGACAGUGAGUACCCUAACCAUGUCUAUAGGCUCUCUAAGGCGCUUUAUGGGCUCAAGCAAGCCCCAAGAGCAUGGUAUGAAUGCCUAAGAGAUUUCCUUAUUUCUAAUGGCUUCAAAGUCGGCAAGGCCGAUCCUACACUCUUUACUAAAACUCUUGAAAAUGACUUGUUUGUAUGCCAAAUUUAUGUUGAUGAUAUUAUAUUUGGGUCUACUAACGAGUCUACAUGUGAAGAGUUUAGUAGGAUCAUGACACAGAAAUUCGAGAUGUCGAUGAUGGGGGAGUUGAAAUAUUUUCUAGGAUUCCAAGUCAAGCAACUCCAAGAGGGCACCUUCAUUUGCCAAACGAAGUACACUCAAGACAUUCUAACCAAGUUUGGAAUGAAGGAUGCCAAGCCCAUCAAGACACCCAUGGGAACCAAUGGGCAUCUCGACCUCGACACGGGAGGUAAAUCCGUCGAUCAAAAGGUAUACCGGUCGAUGAUUGGUUCAUUGCUUUAUUUAUGUGCAUCUCGACCGGAUAUUAUGCUUUCCGUUUGCAUGUGUGCAAGAUUUCAAUCCGACCCUAAGGAAUCCCACCUUACGGCCGUAAAACGAAUCUUGAGAUAUUUAGCUUAUACUCCUAAGUUUGGGCUUUGGUAUCCUCGGGGAUCCACUUUUGAUUUGAUUGGUUAUUCGGAUGCCGAUUGGGCAGGGUGUAAGAUUAAUAGGAAGAGCACAUCGGGGACUUGCCAGUUCUUGGGAAGAUCCUUGGUGUCUUGGGCUUCAAAGAAGCAAAAUUCGGUCGCUCUUUCCACCGCCGAAGCCGAGUACAUUGCCGCAGGCCAUUGUUGCGCGCAAUUGCUUUGGAUGAGGCAAACCCUGCGGGACUACGGUUACAAAUUAACCAAAGUUCCUUUACUAUGUGAUAAUGAGAGUGCAAUCAAAAUGGCCGACAACCCCGUCGAGCAUAGCCGCACUAAAAAUAUAGCCAUUCGGUAUCAUUUUCUUAGGGAUCACCAACAAAAGGGAGAUAUCGAGAUUUCUUACAUUAACACUAAAGAUCAAUUAGCCGAUAUCUUUACCAAGCCUCUUGAUGAACAAUCUUUUACCAGACUUAGGCAUGAGCUCAAUAUUCUUGAUUCUAGAAAUUUCUUUUGCUAGCUUGCACACAUAGCUCAUUUGAAUACCUUUGAUUAUAUCUCUUUUAUAUGCUAUGACUAAUGUGUCUUCAAGUCUAUUUCAAACCAAGUCAUAGGUAUAUUGAAAGGGAAUUGGAGUCUUCGGCAAAGACAAAGGCUUCCACUCCGUAACUCAUACUUCGCCAUCACUCCAAGCAUCUCUCUAUUCUUUGGGGAGAAAUGAGAAUUCAAAGCAAAAGGACUUCGUCUUUGGUAUAAUCUUAACUCAUUCACUUAUGACCAAAGGGGAAGAUAGUACCUAAGGGCUCUAAUGACUCCGUUUUUGGCGAUUCAUGCCAAAAAGGGGGAGAAAUGAGCCCAAAGCAAAAGGACCGCACCACCACCACCAAAUUCAAAAACUUAGUGUUUUCCAAAAGUAUUUAUCAAUUGAUAUCCUAUUAUGUUCAAAAGGGGGAUUUCAAAAAUCUUACAUCAAAACCCUCUUGAACACUAAGAGGAGGAUUAAAUUUAGGGGGAGUUUUGUUUAGUCAAAGGAAAAGCAUUUGAAACAGAGGGAGAAAAUUUCAAAUCUUGAAAAUGCUUUGCAAACUCUUAUUCAUUUACCUUUGACUAUUUGCAAAAGAUCUUUGAAAUGAAUUUACAAAAAAAAAUUUCAAAAACAAAACAUGUGGUGCAAACGUGGUCCAAAAUACUAAAUAAGAAAGAAACAUUCCAUGCAUAUCUUGUAAGUAGUUAUAUUGGCUCAAUUCCAAGCAACCUUUACACUUACAUUAUGCAAACUAGUUCAAUUAUGCACAUCUCUGUUUGCUUUGGUUUGUGCUGGCAUCAAUCACCAAAAAGGGGGAGAUUGAAAGGGAAUUAGGCUUACACCUAGUUCCUAAAUAAUUUUGGUGGUUGAAUUGCCCAACACAAAUAAUUGGACUAACUAGUUUGCCCAAGUGUGUAGAUUAUACAGGUGUAAAAGGUUCACCCUCAGCCAAUAAAAGACCAAGUUUUGGAUUCAAUAAAGGAGCAAAGGGGCAACCGAAGGCACCCCUGGUCUGGCGCACCGGACUGUCCGGUGUGCCACCGGACAGUGAACAGUACCUGUCCGGUGCACCAGGGGACUCAGACUCAAACUCGCCACCUUCGGGAAUUUCCAGGGCGACUCGGCUAUAAUUCACCGGACUGUCCGGUGUACACCGGACAGUGUCCGGUGCGCCAAGGGAGGUCGGCCUCAGGAACUCGCCAGCUUCGGGAAACGCCAACGGCUAGCCCGCUAAAAUUCACCGGACUGUCCGGUGUGCACCGGACUGUCCGGUGCGACUCCGAAGCAACGGUCAUCUCCGCGCCAACGGCUCUCUGCCGCGCAUUAAAUGCGCGCUCUGCGCGCGCAGAAGUCAGAAUCGCCCAUGCUGGCACACCGGACAUCAAACAGUACCUGUCCGGUGUGCACCGGACACCCAGGCGGGCCCACAAGUCAGAAGCUCCAACGGUCAGAAUCCAACGGCAGUGAUGACGUGGCAGGGGGCACCGGACUGUCCGGUGUGCACCGGACUGUCCGGUGCGCCAUCGAACAGACAGCCUUCCAACGACCACUUUUGGUGGUUGGGGCUAUAAAUACCCCAACCACCCCACCAUUCAUUGCAUCCAAGUUUUCCACUUCUCAACUACUACAAGAGCUCUAGCAUUCAAUUCUAGACACACUAAAGAGAUCAAAUCCUCUCCAAUUCCACACAAAGCCCUAGUGACUAGUGAGAGUGAUUUGCCGUGUUCAUUUGAGCUCUUGCGCUUGGAUUGCUUCUUUUCUUUCUCACUUGUUCUUGAGAUCACAACUCCAUUGUAAUCAAGGCAAGAGGCACCAAUUGUGUGGUGGCCCUUGCGGGGAAGUUUUGUUCCCGGCUUUGAUUUGAGAAGAGAAGCUCACUCGGUCCAAGGGACCGUUUGAGAGAGGGAAGGGUUGAAAGAGACCCGGCCUUUGUGGCCUCCUCAACGGGGAGUAGGUUUGCAAGAACCGAACCUCGGUAAAACAAAUCUCCGUGUCUCACUUGCUUAUUCGCUUGGGAUUUGUUUUGCGCCCUCUCUCUCGGACUCGUUUAUAUUUCUAACGCUAACCCGGCUUGUAGUUGUGUUUAUAUUUGUAAAUAACAGUUUCGCCCUAUUCACCCCCCCUCUAGGCGACUAUCAGAUGCCAAGCCCGCAAAGACUCCGAUGGGGACCGACGGACACACCGACCUCAACAAAGGAGGUAAGUCCGUUGAUCAAAAAGCAUACCGGUCAAUGAUAGGGUCUUUACUUUAUUUAUGUGCUAGUAGACCGGAUAUUAUGCUUAGCGUAUGCAUGUGUGCUAGAUUUCAAUCCGAUCCUAAGGAGUGUCACUUAGUGGCGGUAAAGCGAAUUCUAAGAUAUUUGGUUGCUACGCCUUGCUUCGGGCUCUGGUAUCCAAAAGGGUCUACCUUUGACUUGGUUGGAUACUCAGAUUCCGACUAUGCUGGAUGUAAAGUCGAUAGGAAGAGUACAUCAGGGACGUGCCAAUUCUUAGGAAGGUCCCUGGUGUCGUGGAACUCUAAGAAACAAACUUCUGUUGCCCUAUCCACCGCUGAGGCCGAGUAUGUUGCCGCAGGACAGUGUUGCGCGCAACUACUUUGGAUGAGGCAAACCCUCCGGGACUUUGGCUACAAUCUGAGCAAAGUCCCACUCCUAUGUGACAAUGAGAGUGCUAUCCGCUUGGCGGAAAAUCCUGUUGAACACAGCCGCACAAAGCACAUUGACAUCCGGCAUCACUUUUUGAGAGACCACCAGCAAAAGGGAGAUAUCGAAGUGUUUCAUGUUAGCACCGAGAACCAGCUAGCCGAUAUCUUUACCAAGCCUCUAGAUGAGAAGACCUUUUGCAGGCUGCGUAGUGAGCUAAAUGUCUUAGAUUCGCGGAACUUGGAUUGAAUUGUAGCAUACAUGUGUUUAUGCCUUUGAUCAUGUUCAUUCUGCAUUGUGUUGCUUAUUAUGGUGCUCAAGUUGUACAAGCACUCCCCGGACCUCACAAGUCCUUGUGCCAGUAAUGCACAUAUUUAGGGGGAGAUGUGUUACAACUUGACCCUUUGAGACUAACCGUUUGGUUGAGUUUGAUUGUUUUAGUCUCAAAGGAGGUUUGAAAGGGAAAGGUGGACUUGGACCGUGAAAGACUUCCACUGCACUCCGAUGAGAGGGUAACUUAUUCCAAGUUCAUCUUUAAACUCUUAUUGCCUAUUUGCUCUUAAUUGAAGAUUUUGGUGAGGCAAUGGGGUUAAAGGGCCAAGAUUGAUCCCGUUUUGGUGCUUGAUGCCAAAGGGGGAGAAAAUAAAGGCCAAAGCAAUAAAUGGAUCAGCUACCACUUGAGAAACUUUGAAAAAACAGUAGAAUAGAGCUUUUGGUUUGUCAAAACUCUUGCAUUGUCUCUUUUGUCAAAAGUUGGCCUCUUGUGGGGAGAAGUGUUGAUUAUGUCUCUUUUGUCAAAAGUUGGCCUCUUGUGGGGAGAAGUGUUGAUUAUGGGAAAAAGGGGGAGUUUUUGGAAUCUUGAAUCAAUUUUCUUUGGAAAACCUCUCUUUAUGUCUCUACAAGUGGAUUUGACUUAGAGAUAGGAUUUUGAGUUUGUUUUGCAAAAACAAACCAAGUGGUGGCAAAGAAUGAUCCAUAUAUGCCAAAUAGAAUCAAAACAAUUUUGAGUUCUUAUUUGAUUUGAUUUUGUACUUGUUCUACUUGCUUUAUGUUGUGUUGGCAUAAAUCACCAAAAAGGGGGAGAUUGAAAGGGAAAUGUGCCUUUGGGCCAUUUCUAAGUGUUUUGGUGAUUUAGUGUCCAACACAAGUGCCUAAGUGUAAAAAGGUGGACAAAGUACAAAUCAAGAAUUAAGGUAUGUUUCUCAGACUUAGUACAUUGUUUUAUGGACUAAUGUAUUGUGUCUAAGUGCUGGAAACAGGAAAAAUCCAAUUGGAAAUGUCUUGGCUCGAGCAGCCAAGAAUCUGCUAAGUCUGGGAGCACCGGACUGUCCGGUGGGUCACCGGACUGUCCGGUGGUGCACCGGACAGUGUCCGGUGCGCCAGGCUGACUCGGCGUGAACUCGGUGCUCUCGGGAAUUCGCCGACGGCGUACGGCUAAAAUUCACCGGACUGUCCGGUGUGCACCGGACUGUCCGGUGAGCCAACGGUCGGCCGGGCCAACGGUCGGCCGCGCGAUCUGCGCGUGACACGUGGCCGAGCCAACGGCUAGAAGGGGGCACCGGACUGUCCGGUGUGCACCGGACAUGUCCGGUGCGCCAACGGCUCUCUGGCGGGCAACGGUCGGCUGCGACAUUUAAGGAAGGUAACCGGGCACCGGACAGUGUCCGGUGUGCACCGGACUGUCCAAUGCACCCGACGACAGAAGGCAAGAUUGGCCUUCUGGAUUUGCUCUCAACGGCUCCUAGCUGCCUUGGGGCUAUAAAAGGGACCCCUAGGCACAUGGAGGAGAACACCAAGCAUUCCUACAACAUUCCUAAGCACCAAGACAUCGAUUCCGCGCAUUUGGUUCAUUGUGAUAGCAUCUAGAGCUCUUGUUGUGUUGUGAACUCAUUGAGUGGUGUUGCGAGCUCUUGUUGCGACUUGUGUGCGUGCUGUUGCUCUGAUUUUGAGUCUUGUGUGUGUUGCUAGUUCCCUCCCUUACUCCGUAUUUCUUUGUGAAUCUCAAGUGUAAGGGCGAGAGACUCCAAGUUGUGGAGAUUCCUCGCAAACGGGAUAUUGAAAGGAAAAGCAUAACACUGUGGUAUUCAAGUUGAUCAUUGGAUCACUUGAGAGGAGUUGAGUGCAACUCUCGUCCGUUGGGACGCCACAACGUGGAGUAGGCAAGUUUUGUACUUGGCCGAACCACGGGAUAAACCACUGUGUCUUCUCUGUGUUGAUCUUUUGUGGUAUUGUGUUUUGUUGAGACUCAUCUCUAGCCACUUGGCGAUUAUUGUGCUAACACUUAACAAGUUUUUGUGGCUAUAAGUUUAAGUUUCACAGGAUCACCUAUUCACCCCCCCCCUCUAGGUGCUCUCAAGUGUUCCUGCUCCCUCGUCGAGCCUGGCCUGCAUCUCGCGGAUUUGCUCGAGCCGUGCGUCCUGACCCCCCGCAGGGACUGGGACCACAGCUAGCUCCCGAAGGAUGUCAACGCGAGGCGCAGGCCUAGGGGGAUCGUCGUUUUCCAGCACACCAAGAUGGUUGCCUUCACCAGGACCCCCUAGAUCGACGUGGAAACAUUCACGACUUGGGUCGCAGUCCUCGUCGCCGAAGCUGCAGCUACCAUCGGAACAAUCGGAGAGGCAGUAGUCGCAUGCGGUCAUAAAGUCUCGCAUGGCACUGGGGUUACCGAGCCCGGAGAAAUCCCAACAAAAGUCGGGCUCGUCAUCUUCCUCAGAACCCGAGGGUCCGUAGGUCGAGACGGUCGUCAGUCUGUCCCAGGGCGACCGCAUACGGUACCCCGGAGGGUUGGUACAUGCCUCUAUGAAAGCUUCCACCGAAGCGGGGUCGCUUGGUGGGUCGAAGCUGAAUCCAAAAGGCACGAGAUGGGAAUCGGUCGGUACCUUUUGGUCGAUGGGCAGUGACGAAGUCGCGUCAGGGGCAGACUGCACCGUUGUCUCAGGUACGAGGGUGACGCCCAGCAAGUCCUUCGCGAGCGUGCUGGCGUCGUUCGUCUGCUUGGGGUUGGCGUGUUGCGGGGAAACGGCGCUCGUCUUCGUCUCAGACGCAAGGUCGAAGCCCGACGUGUCCCCCGCUGGGGCGCUGGCGUCGUCGACUUGCUCGACAUCCGACGAGGUGCCGCCUCCUGCUUGGCCAUGGUUGCCCCGCCUCCUCCUCCGUCGGCGGGGGAGGUGACGGGACAAACCCGGAUGUUGUUCUUCCGCCAUGUGGGGAAGACGUCGUUGAUUCCGCCGCCGGCGGGCGGGCUGACGACCGCCAUUGUCGCUGUCGCGCGGCGGAGGAAGGAGUAUCAUGUCAUAGCUGCCGUCGAGGGACAUGAACUCAAGACUCCCGAAACAGAGCAUCGUCCCGGGUUGGAAAGGUUGCUGGAGACUACCCAUCUGGAGCUCGACGGGAAGCUGUUCAUCAACACGCAGCAGGCCCCUACCUGGCGCGCCAACUGUCGGCGUUUCGACCCCGGGAGGGUCCCUGGACCGAUGAGUGAAUUAUCGCCGCGUGUCCCAGCCCAGAUGGGUCGGCGCGAGACGGAGCAUGAAGGGGGGAAGAAACAGGCAAAGGGGAAACUCGCGGCCUUCGUGUUGCCCUGCGCCCAGGUCGGGUGCGCUUGCAGUAGGGGGUUACAAGCGUUCGCGUGGGAGAGAGAGAGAGAGAGCGAGAGCCUUAUGCGCCGGCCCGUUCUCCCGCGCGGCCAACCUUCUCGUACGAGAGCCCUGGACCUUCCUUUUAUAGGCGCAAGGAGAGGGUCCAGGUGUACAAUGGGGGGUGUAGCAGUGUGCUAAUGUGUCUAGCAGAGAGGAGCUAGAGCCCUAAGUACAUGCAGUCGGAGAGGUUUUGGCACCCUGUUCAUGUGAUGUCGUGGCCGUCGGAGGAGAGCUGGAGCCCUGCGGAAGGACAGCUGUCGGGGCUGUCGAGUCCUUGCUGACGUCUCCUUGCUUCCGUAAGGGGCUAAGAGCCGCCGUCGUCAUGGAGCACGUGGGGCGCCAUCAUUAUUUGUUUACCGAGGCGAGCCAGAUGGGACGCCGGUCUUGCUCCCCGUAGCCUGAGCUAGCUAGGGGUAGGGUAAUGAUGGCCCCCCUGUGACGUGGUCGGUCCGAGCCCUAGGUCGGGCGAGGCGGAGGCUCCUCCGAGGUCGAGGUCGAGUCCGUCUUCCGAGGUCGAGGCUGAGUCCGACCCCUGGGGUCGGGCGAGGCGGAGUCCGUCUUCCGAGGUCGAGGCUGAGUCCGACCCCUGGGGUCGGGCGAGGCGGAGUCCGUCUUCUGAGGUCGAGGUCGAGUCCGAGCCCUGGGUCGGGCGAGGCGGAGACCGUCUUCCGUGGUCGAGGUCGAGUCCGAGCCCUGGGUCGGGCGAGGCGGAGACCGUCUUCUGAGGCCGAGGCUGUGUCCGAGCCCUGGGGUCAGGCGAGGCGGAGUCCGUCGUCCAGCGUCGAGGUUGAGUCCGAGCCCUGGGGUCGGGCGAGGCGGAGCUUCCUAUGGCGCCCGAGGCUGGACUUAGCUGCUGUCAGCCUCACUCUGUCGAGUGGCACAGCAGUCGGAGCGACGCAGGCGGCGCUAUUUUCUUGUCAGGUCAGUCAGUGGAGUGGCGAAGUGACUGCGGUCACUUCGGCUCUGUCGACUGAAGAGCGCGCGUCAGGAUAAGUUGUCAGGCGAUCCUUGCAUUAAAUGCUCCUGCAAUACGGUCGGUUGGCGUGGCGAUCUGGCCAAGGUUGCUUCUCUGCGAAGACUGGGCCUCGGGCGAGCCAAAGGUGUGUCCGUUGCUUGAGGGGGCCCUCGGUCAAGACGUGAAUCCUCCGGGGUCGGCUGCCUUUGCCCGAGGCUGGGCUCGGGCGAGGCGAGAUUGUGUCCCUUGAGUGGACUGAGCCUUGACCUUAAUCGCGCCCAUCAGGCCUUUGCAGCUUUGUGCUGAUGGGGGUUACCAGCUGAGAUUAGGAGUCUUGGGGGUACCCCUAAUUAUGGUCCUCGACAGUGAGAAACUUCAAGAAAACUCACUAAGGGAAAAAGAGUACAACAACUGUCAUCGGGACAGAUUUCGAUCCUCUGGGAUCUAAAUUCUAUCGAAUCUUCUACAAGGGCUAACUUUAGAAAUGUGCUCCCCCUGAUCCUUGCAAAACCGUAUUAAUAAGGAAAAACAUCUUCUUCUAGAAGUAUAUGCACAUAAAGAUUUAGCAAACAGAUUGCAUAUCCUUGCAAGGACUAUUUCAGGAACUUUACCUCUACUCACUUCUAGGACAUACGAGGUAAGUGCACGUAUCAACAUAAAUAAGCCACUUUGACUGAUGGUGUUCGAUCGACUGGAUCUAUAUAUUUGAUAGAAAGUUCCAUAAAGGUUCACAUAUUGAUCAUCAAGCUCACGCCUUGAGGGCAGAAUAUGACAUUUAUUCUCUCACGAUUAUGAUCAAUAUAAGCAUUCGCUCCCCCUGACGAUGACAUCUUUCAAAGUCGUUAUCCCUCAUAGCUCAAGCAUAUUCUUCAAGAUAUAUGUCUCAUUGUUCAUCUGGAAUAAUGAGAAUGGAUGAGGAUGGGGUGCUAUCAUUUUCUAUCUUACACCACAAUUUAUACAUAGUUGUGCAAAACAAGUAACAUGUCCUUCAAUAGGACUUAGGGGAUAAUAUAGUUGCAACAGUACAUAUUCCAAAUAUGACACAUCGCUCCAGGCGUUCAUCCAUUGCAACAUCUAUGAUGGUGUAACAAAAGUCCAUCAAAUAUCGUAAUCCAUCAUGGAUUUUUCAUCGAUCAGAUACAUCAUUAUAGUCUGUUAUUCUGGCACAAUGGGGAUAUUUUGCCAGUAACACCUAAACCUUAUAGGUUUCUGCCAUCGGGGCUUUAGAGUAUACCAUAAUUCCACAUCUAGUGGAAAAUACCAUGAGUAAAACUCGUGGGAUGCACAUGUGCUUAUUCAGUGAACUACAAGUCCUUUGGUACCCCAUCUUAUUACUUUUCGGGUCUAUAUGGGUCUUUAUCCCAUUAUAUGGGUUAUCAAACUUUGGUGUUCAACACAGACUUUGUUUCUUCCGGAAAGGUUCCAUUUAGAAACUAUAAUCUCAACUAGGAAAUAUUCUCUCUACAUAGGAGAGUGAUCAUUCAUCAGGAAUGUAUUAUCCGAUAUGAGAUUUAUAUGUUGCAUAUUUAUAAUUCAAGAAUAUGAGUCCUCCUUGGAUCUCAUGAUGGAUCUUUCGAAUCCUAUUAACUGCAUAUUUUAAUUCAUGCCAUUUGCCAGAUAUAUUACAUAGUGGAACAGUGUUUAUUCAACACACAUGUGGGAUGAGUCUCUUACAAGACCACUUGAACCAUCGCAUUCACCACACAUUAUUUCAAUAGUGCCCAUAAAUGUUCGAACUUCAAGCUCGUGACUUUCAUUUUGUGUUUAUUGGUUUAGCCUCGAUUGCAUUUAUCAAUGACCCGAUAAAUAGAGAGCUUCAAGCACUCAUGCCUAGGACUUUGUUUUGGAUCCCUUUGCAAUCUAUAUAGGCAAGAUAGGUGUCGACACAUUUGUCUCCCACAUUUAAUAAUGAUCUUCGUCAUUUACCAAAAACAAAAGAUUCAUUAUUCCAUAUUCCUAGCACAAUGAUAUUGUGCGCAUUGCUAGAAAUUUCAUCAUCAAGAUGAACCUCUCAGUGAGGCAAAUCACCAUCAGGGUGAAUUAAUCGGAGGAGAGUUAUCACAUACCACGUGAAUCUGCAAUCAGAACAUAUGGUUUGACUAAGGCUGAUGGAUCAUAUUCGAAGGCGUCCCCGCGGAAUAGAUCAAAUGCCAAUAAGUCAAAUGUGGAUAUGAUAUUAAUCCCAGGUAUAUCCACAUCUACAUCAGGUAGAAGCAUUCAAACUAAUAUGGUUAAUCCUCAAUGAUUUCUGGCAAACUCCAUAUACACAGGAGUACACACUGAACGACGGGAUCAAUUUGGCUUUUGUGCGUUUUAUAGAAUAUUGAGGCGUUACACAAGAUGGGCAUUCAUCCCCCUAAUGCCGAGAUGUUCUAAAAGCAUACAGAUGAAAUCCCCAACCACAAUCAUCCAGUUGUGGCCAAUGUAUGCUAUUGUGGUGAUUUAUUUGGGAAAUCUUACGCACAUUACAAAUCAGGGUUUUAUGUAGUGAGCUUUGGACUUAGAUUAAUGUAGUGGCAUCAAUACUACAUAUUUUUCCUUCAACAUGAAGGGUUAGUAUCAACAUCCAGCGAGACACGCAACAACAAGUUGCUUCGUGUUUACAAUUCUGCAAACUUAUUGUUAUUAUUACCAAAUGCACAGUCAAUCAUUAAGAUUUAGACUAACAUGCACAACACUAUUUUAUCCAUAAGGGUCCUUCAGGGGCUCAUGAAUACCAUUUGCUGUUUGGAGCCAUUAGUUGACUUCAGAUCAACAAGUAAAAUGACUAUCAGGGUCUAACGCUCACAAAGACAUUCAUUGGUUGCAUUGUGCGUUUAAGCACAUAGGAAAAUAUGUGUGUAGAUAAUGGUAGUAAAGUGCACGGCAUCAGGUCAAUGCUGCCAAGCAAAUAUUUUUAUAUGCAUAGAUGUAUAGUCCAGCUCGUUUUUAUCACUGCCCAUGGUUUACCCAAUUACUCAUACUGUUCUGAAAUUGGGUAUCAAUUUGUGCAACAUUUUUAGGUAUUAUAAUUUUGAGAGAGAAUUUAUAACAAUAGUUAAUAAUUUGUGAUGUUGCCAGCAAGGCCAACAUUUCUCCUCAUAUUAUAUACCAAUUUGUUCUAUAAAGCAUUAUUUCGAUCUCUUCGUUGUUCGGCAAAAAGAGAAGCUUUGGAAUAGAACGGAUAAGGCAAAGAAUUCAUUUUAUCUCGGAAAAAUCACCAUAUAACUAGAUUUUGAUGAAGCAAAUGAUGAUAAUUGCUUGGAAAGAACAAAACAAGACUGGUAUCCGCCUAGAAUCCAUCUUCAACAACAGAUAUUACCGCUCGCAUAUGAAGAAAUCAGCAGGAGUAGAGAUGAUACAACAGGUAAGUACAAGAUCUUCAUAUUUCUAUCACAAAUUAUCAUCACUAGUAGUCUAGUGGUUAAGACAUAUGUCUCUUCUCGCUCCGAGGAUCAAGGACAUAUUAAUGUCUAAUUUAGCUUCAAGCUCCGUGGUGAGUGGGAUUUCAUAGUUAUUUGUCUACUCUUCUCACUUCUGGUAGAUCGGAGGUAGAUAAUGGUAAGCAUGACAAAGGGUGGAAUUCAGUGUAGUUCGGCUACAUAAACACCAGGUUUGUGUCCAUUCAGGAUCGACCUUUACCAUUUAGCUUACAGUGUAUACCAAACUUGUCAAAAGACUAUCCCUAGUUAAUUCAUCAACUAGGGAUAUUUACAAUUUUGAGAGAUGUAUACAACACAAGCAUAAAGGUCCUAGAUAGGACGAGCAAAGUGGUUCGACGGGAACGCACCAUGGUUUUCACACCAACAUAGUGCAAAUUUUCUCAGAAUAAUCUCUCGGUAUCCUCGCAACUUCGUGUUGCUAGCGGUUACAUGUCCUUUUAUCUCAUAGUUUGCUUCAUGGCAUUCAGCAACAAAGAGAGCAAUGUGCUAACAUCUAGUUGAGCAAUGUAUGACUGAGAUUUCUGGCCUUUAUUCAUUUGAUAAGGUCUCUUUGCUUACUAACAGAAUCCCAUGUUGUGAUAUCUUUUAUGCCAAAAAGGCUUUCAUGCAUUAAUAUUGAAUUUCUUCAGGUUACUUCGGGUAAAACUUUAUGCAUGAGGAGAGAGUAGGGAAUUAACUUAUCCGAGUUCUAUUGUAUUUCAAUUUAAUUUUCCAGAUUUCCAAGCACUUUGGGGCUUGAUAUAGUAGUUUUGGCCCCUUGGCGAUAUAUAUAAAUAUAUGAUGCCACACAACACAAUCAAAUAAAAUAUAGAGCCAAACAAAAUUGUUUACGAAGGUUGUGCAAUAAUGUGACUUUAGGGCUUGAAUAACCCACCACAUUCCACGCGAGUACAAGUUUUAGCUUAUCUGGCGUCAAUAUGUGUGCGGCCAUCAGGGCUACAACAACACAACAAGCCUUUAUAACAAGCGCAACGGGCGCAAUUGUGGCUCGGUAUCCAGGGUACACGAUAAAUCCAUGCAACGUGCGCAACAGGCGCAAUUGUGGCUCGAUGAUCACGACAGACGGAUAGUGCCUACAGGGCUACGAAAAAUGUGUGACUCGAUGAUGGCGGUCCGACUCAACGAGAGUGGUCCGAUUAAGCGAGAGUGCGACAUAGCAAUCAAAUGACGCAGCCAAGUUCGUACGACACACAUACUGUGUCGUGUUGCCAGGGCGCAGCCAGUGCUCAGUCAAUGCCAUAACUCGGUCGAUUAAUAACGUAAUCUGAUCGACGUGUCUGAGUACCCACUAUACAAUUUAAUCGCUCGACGUGAGUCCAAAAGCUCAACACUUCAUAAAUAUUUAGAGCGACAUAAAAAUGUGCAACCUAACAUUCACAUGUAUUUCAAAUAAUUUUCUGCUAUUUACUACCAAAAAUAAAGCAGAAAAAUAAUACUAAAAUUAAUACAUGAACAUAACACAUCAGGUGUAAAUGUCAAUUUUCUAUAUUCAAGUAUGCAUUUUUCUACUAAUUAUUUAUUGCAGAAAAAAAUUAGUUAAAAUAGAAAUUGCAACAUAAAACACUUUUUAUUCUAACAGGCCUUCUUGGUGUGCAUUAAACAAAUAAAAUUGAUGCAUGCAGCUCUGCCCACCAUGUACAAUCACAUGUGAGGCGAGGGGCACACAGCUUUUAACCAUCACGUGGCCCCACAUGCCAUACCACUCGAGAGGAUAAGCACAGGAGAAGAUAAUUGCUGGACGAGCGAGCAUGCAACAUGACCAGGUAACCGGCCACUUCGGCGCGGACACGUUCAACGCGGCGCGCGUGGCGGCGAUCCAGCGCAGGUGAUGCUUCACCUGUAAGAGCUCGACGCCUCCAUUCCUGAGUUCCUAGUGUUGGCUUGCCGGGAGCUCUUACACCACAUCUAGUUGUCUAGCGCCGCCGCGUGGCCUGUCCGGUUGUCCCUAAGCAGCAGGCACAACUCGACAGACUCCACCGGGGAGGUCACGCCGCCGGGGAGCGCAAGGUCGGGGCCGCGCCCACGCUAGGCUAGGGUAGUACCCACGCUAUUGGAGAGUAGUUGGCCAUGUCGUAAGCGAUCGUCUCCAAGACGAGUGGCAGAGGCGUCGACGCAGGGCAGAGCGAGAACCGGUCGAUCGCGACCCGCGGGGCUACCUUCCUGAAGAAUUUGAUUGGAUUCCUCGCGCAUGGAGGUGGAUUGCUUGCUAGUAGUCUAUAGUUGGUCGGCACGACACAAGCUCACUGCAGGACAACGACGGCUGCACGAGGAACUCAAGCGAGUGUGUGCAUGUGCAGGAGCACAGCGCCAUCGUGGUACUCCUUGCGCAGAGUCUCCACGAACAGAUCAAGAACAAUGAAUCUAUUAUACUUAGAAUACUGUCGGGUACCGUAAUUAGGGGUACCCCCAACACUCCUAAACACGGCUGGUAACCACCAUCAGCACAAGCUGCAGAGACUGAUGGGCGCAAUUCAGGUCAAGGCUUCGUCUACUCAAGGGACGCGAUCUCGCCUCGCCCGAGCCCAGCCUCGGGCGAAAACAGUAGUCCCAGGCGAAUUCACGCCUCGCCCGAGGGCCUCCUCAAGCAACGGGCGCACCCUCGACUCGCCCAAAGCCCAGCUCGGGCAGGCUUCGUUGUGAAGCAACCUUGGCCAAAUCGCCUCACCAACCGACCGUAUCGCAGGCGCAUUCAAUGCGAGGAUCGCCUGACACCUUAUCCUGACACACGUGCCUCAGUCGGCAGGGUCGAAGUGACCGCAGUCACUUUGCCCUUCCACUGACCGACUUGACAGGAAAACAGCGCCGCUCGCCCCUCUCCGACUGUUGUGCCACCCACCAGGGUGAGGCUGACAACAGCUAAGUUUAGCCUCAGGCGCAACAGGAAGCUCCGCCUCGCCCGACCUUGAGCCUCGGCCUCAGGAGGAGGUCUCCGCCUCGCCAGACCCCAGGACUCAGCCCCCGCCUCGGCCUCGGAAGGUGGUCUCUGCCUCGCCCGACCCUAGGGCUCGGCCUUAACCUCGACCUCGGAAGGUGGUCUCCACUUCGCCCGACCCCAGGGCUCGGCCUCAACCUCGACCUCGGGAGGAAUCACGUCCUCGCCCGACCCCUGCCUCGGCCUCAGGAGGAGUCUCCGCCUCGCCCGACCUUGGGCUCGGACCGACCGCGCCACGGAGGAUGCAUCAUUACCCUACCCCUAGCUAGCUCAGGCUACGGGGGAACAAGACCGACGUCCCAUCCAGGCUCGCCCCGGUAACAAGUAAUGAUGGCUCCCCGCGUGCGUCCAUGACGACGGUGGUUCUUAGCCCCCUACGGAAGCAAGGAGACAUCAGCAAGGUCCCAGUAGCCUCGACAGCUGUGCUUCUACAAGGCUCAAGCGCUCCUCCGACGGCCACGAUACCACGUACACAGGGCACUAGCACCUCUCCGACAGCCACGUUGGCAUGUACACAGGGCUCAGGCACCUCUCUGCCGGACACGUUAGCGCAUAGCUACACCCCCAUUAUACACCUGGACCCUCUCCUUGCAUCUAUAAAAGGAAGGUCUAGGGCCCUCAUGCGGGAGGGUCGUCGCGCGGGAGGACGGGCUGACGAACAUGCUCACUCUCUCUCUCUCCCUCGCGAACGCUUGUAACCCCUACUGCAAGCGCAUCCCCCUGGCGCAGGAUAACACGAGCCGUGUUUUCCCCCUUGUGUUCCAUCUCGCGCCAACCCAUCUGGGCUGGGACACGUAGCGACAAUUUUACUCGUCGGUCCAGGGACUCCACGGGGUCGAAACGCCGACAUUUGGCGCGCCAGGUAGGGGCCUGCUGCGUGUUGACGAACAACUUCCCGUUGAGUUCCAGAUGGGUAGACUCCAGCAACCUCUUCAGCCCGAAACGCUGCUCCAUUUUGGGAGUCUCGAGUUCAUGUCCCUCGACGGCAGCUACGACAUGGUACUCCUUCCUCCGCAGCGUGGCAGCGACAACGACGGCCGUCAGCCCGCCCGGCGAUGGCGAACUCGACGACGUCUUCCCCCCAUGGUGGAAGAGCAGCAUCCGGGUUUCUCCUGCCGCCUUCCUUGCCGCAGGAGGAGGAGGCGGGGCAACCAUGGCCAGGCUGGAGGCGGCACCUCGUUGGCUGUCGAGCAAGUCGACAAUGUCGGCACCCCAGUGGGGGACUUGUCAAGCGUUGUCCUCGCGCCUGAGACAACGACGGGUGUCAUUUCCCUGCAACGUGCCAACCCCAAGCGGACAGAUGACGCCAGCACACUCGCGGAGGGCUUGCUGGGCGUUAGCCUCGUACCUAAGAUAACGGUGCAGUCUGACCCUGACGCGACUUCGUCACCGUCCAUCGAUCGAGAGGUAUCGUCCGUUUUCCACCCUGUGCCUUUUAGAUUCAGCUUCGAUCCACCAAGCGACCCCGCUUCGGUGAGCGCUUUCAUAAAGGCAUAUCCUAACCUUCCGGGGUAUCAUAUGUGGUGAACCUGGGACCGACUGACGGCCGUCUCGACCUACGGGCCCCCGGGUUCCGAGGAAGAGGACAAGCCCGACUCUGGUUGGGAUUUCUCCGGGCUCGGUAAUCCCAGUGCCAUGUGAGACUUCAUGACCGCAUGUGACUACUGCCUCUCCGAUUGCUCCGAUGAUUGCCACAGCCUUGACGACGAGGGUUGUGGCCCAAGUCGCGAAUGUUUCCACGUCGAUCUAGGGGGUCACGACAAAGGCAACCACCUUGGUAUGCCAGAGGACGACGAUCCCCUGGGCCUGCGCCUCGCGUUGACAUCCUGCGGGAGCUAGCUGUGGUCCCAGUCCCUGCGGGGGGGUCAGGACACACAGCUCGAGCAAAUCCGCGAGAUGCAGGCCAAGCUCGACGAGGAAGCAGGACAACUUGUGCAGCUCUGGCAAAACAUCGAGCAGGAGUGGGCAGGCCGAGCACUAGCCGGAGAAGCGCAUCAUCAGGCCCGGGACAUCCAGCGUCGUAUCGCUGACGAUGCCAGGGCAAGGCUGCCCCCGGCCUCCAGCGGGGUCGGCCAGAAUCUGGUUGCAGCGGCAAUACUACUUUGAGCGAUGCCUGAGCCAUCCACCACCGAGGGGCGGCGUAUCCAGGGAGAACUCAAGAAUCUCCUAGAGGACGCCGCGGUCCGACGGGCCGAGAGCUCUGCCUCCCGAAGGCAAGGGUGCCCCCCGGAGCAUUGCGCAACGACUUCCCGAUUCAUGCGGGAGGCCUCGGUCCACACCGAGCGCACGCGGGACGUGACGCCUGUGGCCCUGGGUCGCCUUGGCAACGAGCACCACCGCCGCGACCGUCGAGUCCGCCACGACGAGAAGGUGCACCGAGGCUACCACCCCAGGCGUGGGAUACGUUACGACAGCGAGGAGGAUCUUAGCCCCUCGCCCGAACCACCUGGUCCGCAAGCCUUCAGCCGGGCCAUACGACGGGCGCCGUUCCCGACCCGGUUCCGAGCCCCGACUACCAUCACCAAGUACUCGGGGGAAACAAGGCCGGAACUGUGGCUUGCGGACUACCGGCUGGCCUGCCAGCUAGGUGGAACGGACGAUGACAACCUCAUCAUCCGCAACCUCCCCCUGUUCCUCUCCGACGCCGCCCGAGCCUGGCUGGAGCAUCUGCCUCCUGCGCAGAUCUCCAACUGGGACGAUUUGGUCAAAGCCUUCGCUGGAAACUUCCAGGGCAUGUACGCGCGCCCUGGGAACUCAUGGGAUCUCUGAAGCUGCUGCCAGCAGUCAGGGGAAUCCCUACGAGAGUACAUCCGGCGGUUUUCGAAGCAACGCACCGAGCUGCCCAACAUCACUGACUCAGAUGUCAUCGGGGCGUUCCUCGCCGGCACCACUUGCCACGACCUGGUGAGAAAACUGGGUCGCAAGACUCCCACCAAGGCGAGCGAAUUGAUGGACAUCGCCACCAAGUUCACCUCUGGUUAGGAGGCGGUCGAGGCCAUCUUCCGGAAGGACAAGCAGCCUCAGGGACGCUAGCAGGAAGACAUCCCCGAGGCGUCCGCCCAGCGCGGCACGAAGAAGAAGGCGAAAAAGAAGUCGCAAGCGAAACGUGACGCCGCCGACGCAGAUCUUGUCGCUGCCACCGAACACAGGAACCCUCGGAAGCCUCCUGGAGGGGCCAACCUGUUCGACAAGAUGCUCAAGGAGUCGUGCCCCUAUCACCAGGGUCCCGUCAAGCACACCCUUGAGGAAUGCGUCAUGCUUCGGCGCUACUUUCAUAAGGUCAGGCCACCAGCGGAAGAUGGCAAAGGCCAAGACAACGACAAGAAGGAGGGUGACAAGGCAGAGGAGUUCCCCGAGGUCCACAGCUAUUUCAUGAUCUACGGUGGGCGAGUGGCGAACGCCUCGGCUCGGCACCGCAAGCAGGAGCGUCGGGAGGUCUGCUUAGUAAAGGUGGCGGCGCCAGUCUACCUAGACUGGUCCGACAAGCCCAACACCUUCGACCAAGGCGACCACCCCGACUGCGUGUCGAGCCCAGGAAAAUACCCGCUCGUUGUCGACCCCGUCAUCGGCAACACCAGGCUCACCAAGGUCCUCAUGGACGGGGGCAGCAGCCUCAACAUCAUCUACGCCAAGACCCUCGGGCUCUUGGAGAUCGAUCUGUCCAUGAUCCGGGCCGGUGCGACGCCCUUUCACGGGAUCAUCCCCGGGAAGCGCGUCCUGCCCCUCGGUCAACUCGAUCUGCAUGUCUGCUUCGGAACUCCCUCCAACUUCCGAAAGGAAACCCUCACGUUCGAGGUGGUCGGGUUCCGAGGAACCUACCACGCGUUACUGGGGAGACCAUGCUACGCCAAGUUCAUGACCGUCCCCAACUACACCUACCUCAAGCUCAAGAUGUCGGGCCCCAACGGGGUCAUCACCGUCGGAUCCACGUACAGACACGCGUACAAAUGCGACGUGGAGUGCGUGGAGUACGCUGAGGCCCUCGCCGAGUCUGAGGCCCUCAUCACCGACCUGGAGUGCCUCUCUGAAAGGGAAUUAGGCUUACUCCUAUUUUCCGAAUUGAUUUUAGUGGUUGAAGUGCCCAACACAAAUAAUUGGACUAACUAGUUUGCUCUAGUGUAUAAGUUAUACAGGUGAAAAAGGUUCACACUUAGCCAAUAAAAAGAUCAAAUGUUGGAUUCAACAAAGGAGAAAAGGGACAACUGAAGGCACCUCUGGUCUGGGGAACCGGACAGUGUCCGGUGCACCAGAGGACUCCAACUUGAACUCGCCACCUUCGGGAAUUUCUAGAGGCACUCGCGCUAUAAUUCACCGGACUGUCCGGUGUACACCGGACAGUGUCCGGUGCUCCUCGGAAGAGCUGCCUCAGGAACUCGCCAGCCUCGGGAAAUCAGAACGCCUGCUCCACUAUAAUUCACCGGACAUGUCCGGUGUACACCGGACUAUCCGGUGAACCAGCAGAGCAACGGAUACUUCACGCCAACGGUCACCUACAGGCGCAUUCAAUGCGCGCCAGAAGCGCGCAGAAGUCAGGCACGCCCAUACUGGCGCACCGGACAUUGAACAGUACAUGUCCGGUGUGCACCGGACAUCCAGGCGGGCCCAGAAGUCAGAACUACAACGGUCAGAAUCCAACGGCAUUGGUGACGUGGCUGGCGCACCGGACAUGUCCGGUGUGCACCGGACUGUCCGGUGCACCAUACGACAGUCAGCUUCCACCAACGGUCAAGUUUGGUGGUUGGGGCUAUAAAUACCCCAACCACCCCACCAUUCAUUGCAUCCAAGUUUUCCAGCUUCCAACCACUAUACAAGAGCUAGCAUUCAUUGCAAAACACACAAAAAGAGAUCAAAUCCUCUCCCAACUCCACACAAAGCAUUAGUGACUAGAGAGAGUGAUUUGUAGUGUUCACUUGAGCUCUUGCGCUUGGAUCGCUUCUUUUCUUUCGCAUUCUUUCUUGUGAUCAAACACUCACUUGUAAUUGAGGCAAGAGGCACCAAUCGUGUGGUGGCCCUUGCGGGAAGCUUGAUUCCCAAGUGAUUUGAGAAGAGAAGCUCACUCGGUCCAAGGGAUCGUUUGAGAGAGGGAAGGGUUGAAAGAGACCCGGCCUUUGUGGCCUCCUCAACGGGGAGUAGGUUUGAGAGAACCGAACCUCGGUAAAACAAAUCCGCGUGUCUCACUUUAUUAUUCGCUUGCGAUUUGUUUUGCGCCCUCUCUCGCGGACUCUAUUAUAUUUCUAACGCUAACCCGGCUUGUAGUUGUGAUUAUUUUGAGAAUUUUAGUUUCGCCCUAUUCACCCCCCCCCCUCUAGGCGACUUUCAAUUGGUAUCAGAGCCCGGUGCUUCAUUAGAGCCUAACCGCUCGAAGUGAUGUUGGGAGAUCACGCCAAGAAGGAGAAGGAGACCGGCGAAAAGCCCACUACAAGCCACGGGAGCACUUCAUCGGAAGAGUCCCACACCAAGAGGAAGGAGAAGAAGAAGAGCUCCUCCAACAAAGGGAAGGAGAAGAAAUCUUCUUCUCACCACAAAGAGAAGAAGGAGAGAUCUUCCUCUCACAAGCCACAUCGGAGUGGGGACAAGCACAAGAGGAUGAGGAAAGUGGUCUACUACGAGACCGACACUUCAUCAACAUCGACCUCCGACUCCGAUGCGCCCUCCGUAACUUCUAAACGCCAAGAGCGUAAGAAGUUUAGUAAGAUCCCCUUACACUAUCCUCGUACAUCUAGACAUACUCCAUUACUUUCCGUUCCAUUAGGCAAACCACCAACCUUUGACGGUGAAGAUUAUGCUAGGUGGAGUGAUUUAAUGAAAUUUCAUCUAACCUCACUCCACAAAAGUAUAUGGAAUGUUGUUGAGUUUGGAGCACAGGUAUCAUCCGUAGGGGAUAAGGAUUAUGAUGAGGACGAGGUGGCCCAAAUCGAGCACUUCAACUCUCAAGCUACAACCAUACUCCUCGCCUCUCUAAGCAAGGAAGAAUACAACAAGGUGCAAGGGUUAAAGAAUGCAAAGGAGAUUUGGGACCUCCUCAAGACCGCGCACGAGGGCGAUGAACUAACAAAGAUCACCAAGCGAGAAACGAUCGAGGGGGAGCUCGGUCGCUUUCGACUUUGCCAAGGGGAAGAGCCACAAGACAUGUACAACCGGCUCAAGACUUUGGUGAACCAAGUGCGCAACCUCGGGAGCAAGAAGUGGGAUGACCACGAGGUGGUUAAGGUUAUUCUUAGAUCACUCAUUUUCCUUAACCCCACUCAAGUUCAAUUAAUUCGUGGUAAUCCUAGAUAUACUCAAAUGACCCCCGAGGAAGUUAUCGGGAAUUUUGUGAGCUUUGAAUGUAUGAUCAAGGGCUCCAAGAAGAUCAACGAGCUUGAUGAACCCUCCACGUCCGAAGCACAACCGGUGGCAUUUAAGGCGACGGAGGAGAAGAAGGAGGAGUCUACACCGAGUAGACAACCAAUUGACGCCUCCAAGCUCGACAAUGAGGAGAUGGCUUUAAUCAUCAAAAGCUUUCGCCAAAUCCUCAAGCAACGGAAGGGGAAGGAUUAUAAAUCCUGUUCCAAGAAGGUUUGCUACAAGUGUGGUAAGCCCGGCCACUUUAUAGCUAAAUGUCCAUUAUCAAGUGAUAGUGACAGGGGCGACGACAAGAAGGGGAGAAGAAAGGAGAAGAAGAGGUACUACAGGAAGAAGGGCGGCGAUGCCCAUGUUUGUCGGGAGUGGGACUCCGAUGAAAGCUCAAGCGACUCCUCCGACGACGAGGACGCCGCCAACAUCGCCGUCACCAAAGGACUUCUCUUCCCCAACGUCGGCCACAAGUGCCUCAUGGCAAAGGACGGCAAAAAGAAGGUUAAAUCUAAAUCCUCCACUAAAUAUGAAACAUCUAGUGAUGAUAAUGCUAGUGAUGAGGAAGAUAAUUUGCGUAUCCUUUUUGCCAACCUUAACAUGGAACAAAAAGAAAAAUUAAAUGAAUUGAUUAGUGCUAUUCAUGAAAAGGAUGACCUUUUGGAUUCUCAAGAGGAUCUCCUAAUUAAGGAAAACAAGAAACAUGUUAAGGUUAAAAAUGCUUAUGCUCUAGAAAUUGAGAAAUGUAAAAAAUUAUCUAGUGAGCUAAGCACUUGUCGUGAGAUGAUUGACAACCUUAGGAAUGAAAAUGCUAGUUUAAAUGCUAAGGUUGAUUCACAUGUUUGUAAUGUUUCAAUUCCCAAUCCUAGAAAUAAUAAUGAUGAUUUGCUUGCUAGGAUUGAAGAAUUAAACAUUUCUCUUGCUAGCCUUAGGAGUGAAAAUGAGAAAUUAAUUACUAAGGCAAAAGAUUUUGAUGUUUGCAAAGUUACAAUUUCCGAUCUUAGAGAUAAGAAUGAUAUACUACAUGCUAAGAUUGUUGAACUUAAUUCUUGCAAACCCUCCACAUCUACCAUUGAGCAUGACACUAUUUGUACUAGAUGUAGAGAUAUUGAUGUUGAUGCUAUUCAUGAUCACAUGAUUUUAAUUAAGCAACAAAAUGAUCAUAUAGCUAAACUAGAUGCUAAAAUUGCCGAGCACAACUUAGAAAAUGAGAAAUUUAAAUUUGCUCGUAGCAUGCUUUAUAAUGGGAGACGCCCUGGCAUUAAGGAUGGCAUUGGCUUCAAAAGGGGAGACAAUGUCAAAAUUAGUGCCCCUCCUAAAAGAUUGUCAAAUUUUGUUAAGGGCAAGACUCCCAUGCCUCAGGAUAACGAGGGUUAUAUUUUAUACCCUGCCGGUUAUCCCGAGGACAAAAUUAGGAAAAUUCAUUCUAGGAAGUCACACUCUGGUUCUAACCAUGCUUUUAUGUAUAAGAGUGAGACAUCUAGUUCUAGGCAACCAACCCGUGCUAAGUUGCCUAAGAAGAAAAUUCCUAUUGCAUCAAAUGAUCAUAAUAUUUCUUUUAAAACUUUUGAUGCAUCUUAUGUUUUGACUAACAAAUCCGGCAAGGUAGUUGCCAAAUAUGUUGGGGGCAAGCACAAAGGGUCAAAGACUUGUGUUUGGAUACCCAAAGUUCUUGUUUCUAAUGCCAAAGGACCCAAAACUGUUUGGGUACCUAAAGUCAAGAACUAAAAUUGUUUUGUAGGUUUAUGCAUCCGGGGGCUCAAGUUGGAUACUCGACAGCGGGUGCACAAACCACAUGACAGGGGAGAAAAAGAUGUUCUCCUCAUAUGAGAAAAACCAAGAUCCCCAACGAGCUAUCACAUUCGGGGAUGGAAAUCAAGGUUUGGUCAAAGGUCUUGGUAAAAUUGCUAUAUCUCCUGACCAUUCUAUUUCCAAUGUUUUUCUUGUAGAUUCUUUAGAUUACAACUUGCUUUCCGUUUCACAAUUAUGUCAAAUGGGCUACAACUGUCUAUUUACCGAUGUAGGUGUCACUGUCUUUAGAAGAAGUGAUGAUUCAAUAGCAUUUAAGGGAGUGUUGGAGGGUCAGCUAUACUUGGUAGAUUUUGAUAAAGCUGAACUCGACACUUGCUUAAUUGCUAAGACUAACAUGGGUUGGCUCUGGCACCGCCGACUAGCCCAUGUUGGGAUGAAGAAUCUUCAUAAGCUUCUAAAGGGAGAACACAUUUUAGGAUUAACAAAUGUUCAUUUUGAGAAAGACAGGAUUUGUAGCGCAUGCCAGGCAGGGAAGCAAGUUGGAGCCCAUCAUCCACACAAGAACAUCAUGACGACCGACAGGCCACUGGAGCUCCUACACAUGGAUCUAUUCGGCCCGAUUGCUUACAUAAGCAUCGGCGGGAGUAAGUACUGUCUAGUUAUUGUGGAUGAUUAUUCUCGCUUCACUUGGGUAUUCUUUUUACAGGAAAAAUCUCAAACCCAAGAGACCUUAAAGGGAUUCUUGAGACGGGCUCAAAAUGAGUUCGGCUUAAGGAUCAAGAAAAUAAGAAGCGACAACGGGACGGAGUUCAAGAACUCUCAAAUUGAAGGCUUUCUUGAGGAGGAGGGCAUCAAGCAUGAGUUCUCUUCUCCAUACACCCCUCAACAAAAUGGUGUAGUGGAGAGGAAGAAUCGAACUCUAUUGGACAUGGCAAGGACCAUGCUUGAUGAGUACAAGACUUCGGAUCGGUUUUGGGCCGAGGCGGUCAACACCGCUUGCUACGCCAUCAACCGGUUAUAUCUUCACCGAAUCCUCAAGAAGACAUCAUAUGAACUCCUAACCGGUAAAAAGCCCAAUAUUUCUUAUUUUAGAGUCUUUAGUAGCAAAUGUUUUAUUCUUGUUAAAAGAGGUAGAAAAUCUAAAUUUGCUCCUAAGACUGUAGAAGGCUUUUUACUUGGUUAUGACUCAAACACAAGGGCAUAUAGAGUCUUUAACAAGUCCACUGGACUAGUUGAAGUCUCAUGUGACGUUGUGUUUGAUGAGACUAACGGCUCUCAAGUAGAGCAAGUUGAUCUUGAUGAGAUAGGUGAUGAAGAGGCUCCGUGCAUCGCGCUAAGGAACAUGUCCAUCGGGGAUGUGUGUCCUAAGGAAUCCGAAGAGCCUCCAAAGGCACAAGAUCAACCGUCCUCCUCCACGCAAGCAUCUCCACCAACUCAAAAUGAGGAUGAGGCUCAAGUUGAUGAAGGGCAAGAUCAAAAAGAUGAGCCACCUCAAGAUGAUGGCAAUGAUCAAGGGGGAGAUGCAAAUGAUCAAGAAAAGGAGGAUGAGCAAGAACCAAGGCCGCCACACCCAAGAGUCCACCAAGCAAUCCAACGAGAUCACCCCGUCGACACCAUCCUCGGCGACAUACAUAAAGGGGUAACUACUAGAUCUCGUGUUGCACAUUUUUGUGAACAUUACUCUUUUGUUUCCUCUAUAGAGCCACACAGGAUAGAGGAAGCACUUCAAGAUUCGGAUUGGGUGGUGGCGAUGCAAGAGGAGCUCAACAACUUCACUACGAAUGAGGUAUGGCAUUUAGUUCCACGUCCUAACCAAAAUGUUGUAGGAACCAAAUGGGUCUUCCGCAACAAACAAGAUGAGCAUGGUGUGGUGACAAGGAACAAAGCCCGACUUGUGGCCAAGGGAUACUCCCAAGUCGAAGGUUUGGAUUUCGGUGAAACCUAUGCACCCGUAGCUAGGCUUGAGUCAAUUUGCAUAUUAUUGGCCUAUGCUACUUACCAUGGCUUUAAGCUUUAUCAAAUGGACGUGAAAAGUGCCUUCCUCAAUGGACCAAUCAAGGAAGAGGUCUAUGUUGAGCAACCUCCCGGCUUUGAAGACAGUAAGUACCCUAACCAUGUAUAUAAACUCUCCAAGGCGCUUUAUGGGCUCAAGCAAGCCCCAAGAGCAUGGUAUGAAUGCCUUAGAGAUUUCCUUAUUGCUAAUGGCUUCAAAGUCGGAAAGGCCGAUCCUACUUUAUUCACUAAAACUCUUGACAAUGAUUUGUUUGUAUGCCAAAUUUAUGUUGAUGAUAUCAUAUUUGGGUCUACUAACGAAUCUACAUGUGAAGAAUUUAGUAGGAUCAUGACAAAGAAAUUCGAGAUGUCUAUGAUGGGGGAAUUGAAGUACUUCUUAGGAUUUCAAGUGAAGCAACUCCAAGAGGGCACCUUCCUAAGCCAAACGAAGUAUACUCAAGAUAUUCUAAGCAAGUUUGGGAUGAAGGAUGCCAAGCCCAUCAAGACACCCAUGGGAACCAAUGGGCAUCUCGACCUCGACACGGGAGGUAAGUCCGUGGAUCAAAAGGUAUCCCGGUCAAUGAUAGGUUCUUUACUCUAUUUAUGUGCAUCUCGACCGGACAUUAUGCUUUUCGUAUGCAUGUGUGCAAGAUUCCAAGCCGACCCUAAGGAAGCUCACCUUACGGCCGUAAAACGAAUCUUGAGAUAUUUGGCUUAUACUCCUAAGUUUGGGCUUUGGUAUCCUAGGGGAUCCACAUUUGAUUUGAUUGGAUAUUCGGAUGCCGAUUGGGCAGGGUGCAAAAUCAAUAGGAAGAGCACAUCGGGGACUUGCCAGUUCUUGGGAAGAUCCUUGGUGUCUUGGGCUUCAAAGAAGCAAAAUUCGGUCGCUCUUUCCACCGCCGAAGCCGAGUACAUUGCCGCAGGCCAUUGUUGCGCACAAUUGCUUUGGAUGAGGCAAACCCUGCGGGACUACGGUUACAAACUAACCAAAGUUCCUCUUCUAUGUGAUAAUGAGAGUGCAAUCCGCAUGGCGGAUAAUCCCGUUGAGCAUAGCCGCACUAAGCACAUAGCCAUUCGGUAUCAUUUUCUUAGGGAUCACCAACAAAAGGGAGAUAUCGAGAUUGCAUACAUUAAUACUAAAGAUCAAUUAGUCGAUAUCUUUACCAAGCCUCUUGAUGAACAAACCUUUACCAAACUUAGGCAUGAGCUCAAUAUUCUUGAUUCUAGAAAUUUCUUUUGCUAACUUGCACACAUAGCUCACGAAUAUACCUUUGAUCAUGUCUCUUUCAUAUGCUAUGACUAAUGUGUUUUCAAGUGUAUUUCAAACCAAGUCAUAAGGUAUAUUGAAAGGGAAUUGGAGUCUUCAGCGAAGACAAAGGCUUCCACUCCACUCUCCUACUCAUCCUUCGCCGUCACUCCGAGCAUCUCUCCAACUUUGGUAUAACCUUCACUCAUUUAUUUUAUGAUCAAAGGAGGAGAAAGUACUUCAUAGGGCUCUAAUGACUCCAUUUUUGGCGAUUCAUGCCAAAGGGGGAGAAAGUAUUAGCCCAAAGCAAAAGGACCGCACCACCACCAAUUUCAAAAACUUAGUGUUUUCAAAGAGUAUUUAUCAAUUGGUAUCCUAUUGUGUUCAAAAGGGGGAGAAAGUAGUAUUUCAAAAAUGAUAUAUCAAAACCCUCUUGAACACUAAGAGGAGGAUCUCUUUUAGGGGGAGUUUUUUUUAGUCAAAGGAAAAGCAUUUGAAACAGGGGGAGAAAAUUUCAAAUCUUGAAAAUGCUUCAUAAAAACGUAUUCAUUUGCCUUUGACUAUUUGCAAAAGAACUUUGAAAAGAUUUACAAAAGAUUUUUGCAAAAACAAAACAUGUGGUGCAAGCGUGGUCCAAAAUAUUAAAAACAAAGGAGCAAUCCAUGCAUAUCUUGUAAGUAGUUAUAUUGGCUCAACUCCAAGCAACCUUUUCACUUACAUUAUGCAAACUAGGUCAAUUAUGCACUUUUCUAUUUGCUUCGGUUUGUGUUGGCAUCAAUCACCAAAAAGGGGGAGAUUGAAAGGGAAUUAGGCUUACUCCUAUUUUCCAAAUUGAUUUUAGUGGUUGAAGUGUCCAACACAAAUAAUUGGACUAACUAGUUUGCUCUAGUGUAUAAGUUAUACAGGUGAAAAAGGUUCACACUUAGCCAAUAAAAAGAUCAAAUGUUGGAUUCAACAAAGGAGAAAAGGGACAACCGAAGGCACCUCUGGUCUGGGGCACCGGACUGUCCGGUGUACACCGGACAGUGUCCGGUGCACCACCGGACAGUGUCCGGUGUACCAGAGGACUCCAACUUGAACUCGCCACCUUCGGGAAUUUCUAGAGGCACUCGCGCUAUAAUUCACCGGACUGUCCGGUGUACACCGGACAGUGUCCGGUGCUCCUCGGAAGAGCUGCCUCAGGAACUCGCCAGCCUCGGGAAAUCAGAACGCCUGCUCCGCUAUAAUUCACCGGACAUGUCCGGUGUACACCGGACUGUCCGGUGAACCAGCAGAGCAACGGAUACUUCGCGCCAACGGUCACCUGCAGGCGCAUUCAAUGUGCGCCAGAAGCGCGCAGAAGUCAGGCACGCCCAUACUGGCGCACCGGACAUUGAACAGUACAUGUCCGGUGUGCACCGGACAUCCAGGCGGGCCCAGAAGUCAGAACUACAACGGUCAGAAUCCAAUGGCAUUGGUGACGUGGCUGGCGCACCGGACAUGUCCGGUGUGCACCGGACUGUCCGGUGCACCAUACGACAGUCAGCUUCCACCAACGGUCAAGUUUGGUGGUUGGGGCUAUAAAUACCCCAACCACCCCACCAUUCAUUGCAUCCAAGUUUUCCAGCUUCCAACCACUAUACAAGAGCUAGCAUUCAUUGCAAAACACACAAAAAGAGAUCAAAUCCUCUCCCAACUCCACACAAAGAUAUCGGCUAGCUGGUUCUCGGUGCUAACAUGAAACACUUCGAUAUCUCCCUUUUGCUGGUGGUCUCUCAGAAAGUGAUGCCGGAUGUCAAUGUGCUUUGUGCGGCUGUGUUCAACAGGAUUUUCCGCCAUGCGGAUAGCACUCUCAUUGUCACAUAGGAGUGGGACUUUGCUCAGAUUGUAGCCAAAGUCUCGGAGGGUUUGCCUCAUCCAAAGUAGUUGUGUGCAACACUGUCCUGCGGCAACGUACUCGGCCUCAGCGGUGGAUAGGGCAAUAGAGGUUUGUUUCUUAGAACUCCAUGACACCAGGGACCUUCCUAAAAAUUGGCACGUCCUCGAUGUACUCUUCCUAUCGACCUUACAUCCAACAUAGUCGGAGUCUGAAUAUCCAAUUAAGUCAAAGGUAGACCCCUUUGGAUACCAGAUCCCGAAGCAAGGCGUAGCGACUAAAUAUCUAAGAAUUCGCUUCACCGCCACUAAGUGACACUCCUUAGGAUCGGAUUGAAAUCUAGCACACAUGCAUACGCUAAGCAUAAUGUCCGGUCUACUAGCACAUAAAUAAAGUAAAGACCCUAUCAUUGACUGGUAUGCUUUUUGAUCAACGGACUUACCUCCUUUGUUGAGGUCGGUGUGUCCGUCGGUUCCCAUCGGAGUCUUUGCGGGCUUGGCAUCCUUCAUCCCAAACCGCUUGAUCAAGUCUUGUGUGUACUUGGUUUGAGAGAUGAAGGUCCCAUCCUUGAGUUGCCUCACUUGGAACCCAAGGAAAUAGCUUAACUCGCCCAUCAUCGACAUCUCGAAUUUCUGCGUCAUCACCCUGCUAAACUCUUCACAAGACUUUUGAUUAGUAGAACCAAAUAUUAUGUCAUCGACAUAAAUUUGGCACACAAAAAGAUCACCAUCGCAAGUCUUAGUGAAAAGAGUUGGAUCGGCUUUCCCAACCUUGAAAGCAUUAGCAAUUAAAAAGUCUCUAAGGCAUUCAUACCAUGCUCUUGGGGCUUGCUUAAGUCCAUAGAGCGCCUUAGAGAGCUUAGACACGUGGUCGGGGUACCGUUCAUCCUCGAAGCCAGGAGGUUGCUCCACGUACACCUCCUCCUUGAUCGGCCCAUUGAGGAAAGCGCUCUUCACAUCCAUUUGGUACAACUUGAAAGAAUGGUGAGCGGCAUAUGCUAGCAAGAUACGAAUUGAUUCUAGCCUAGCCACAGGAGCAAACGUCUCCUCAAAGUCCAAACCUGCGACUUGGGCAUAACCUUUUGCCACAAGUCGAGCCUUGUUCCUCGUCACCACCCCGUGCUCGUCCUGUUUGUUGCGGAACACCCACUUGGUUCCCACAACAUUUUGCUUGGGGCGAGGCACCAGUGUCCAAACUUCAUUUCGCUUGAAGUUGUUGAGUUCCUCCUGCAUGGCCAACACCCAGUCCGGAUCUAGCAGGGCCUCUUCUACCCUGAAAGGCUCAAUAGAAGAGACAAAGGAGUAAUGCUCACAAAAAUUAACUAAUCUUGAACGACUAGUUACUCCCUUGCUAAUAUCACCCAAUAUCUGGUCGACGGGAUGAUCCCUUUGGAUCGUCGCUCGAACUUGGGUUGGAGGUGUCUGAGGUGCUUCUUCCUCUUCAACUUGAACAUCUUGUGCUCCCCCUUGAUCAUGCGCCUCCACUUGAGGUACCUGUUCGUCAUCUUGGGUUGGGGGAUGCACCAUAGUUGAGGAGGACGGUUGAUCUUGCUCCAAUUGUUCCUGUGGUCGUACUUCACCAAUCGCCAUGGUUCGUAUAGCGGCCGUCGGAACAUCUUCUUCAUCUACAUCAUCAAGAUCAACAACUUGCUCUCUUGGAGAGCCAUUAGUCUCAUCAAAUACAACGUCGCUAGAGACUUCAACCAAACCCGAUGAUUUGUUGAAGACCCUAUACGCCUUUGUAUUUGAAUCAUAACCUAACAAAAACCCUUCUACAGCUUUGGGAGCAAAUUUGGAAUUCCUACCCUUCUUCACUAGAAUGUAGCAUUUACUCCCAAAUACACGAAAGUACGAUACGUUGGGUUUGUUACCGGUUAGCAGCUCAUACGACGUCUUCUUGAGGAGGCGAUGAAGAUAGACCCUGUUGAUGGCGUGGCAAGCCGUGUUCACGGCUUCCGACCAAAAGCACUCGGGGGUCUUGUACUCUCCAAGCAUCAUCCUCGCCAUAUCAAUUAGCGUCCUGUUCUUCCUCUCUACCACACCAUUUUGCUGUGGUGUGUAGGGAGCGUAGAACUCGUGCUUGAUCCCUUCCUCCUCAAGGAACUCCUCCACUUGAAGGUUCUUGAAUUCGGACCCGUUGUCGCUCCUUAUCUUCUUCACUUUGAGCUCAAACUCAUUUUGAGCUCUCCUUAGGAAGCGCUUGAGGGUCCCUUGGGUUUCAGUCGUAUCCUGCAAGAAGAACACCCAAGUGAAGCGGGAAAAGUCAUCAACAAUAACUAAACCAUACUUACUUCCUCCUAUGCUUAGAUAGGCGACGGGUCCGAAGAGAUCCAUAUGUAGCAGCUCCAGGGAUCUUGAUGUGGUCAUCACAUUCUUGCUGUGAUGCACUCCUCCCACCUGUUUACCUGCUUGACAAGCUGCACAAGGUCUAUCUUUUUCGAAUUGCACGUUAGUCAAACCUAUCACGUGUUCUCCCUUUAGAAGCUUGUGAAGGUUUUUCAUCCCCACAAGAGCUAAGCGGCGAUGCCACAGCCAGCCCAUGCUAGUCUUAGCUAUUAAGCAUGCAUCUAGACCGGCCUCCUCUUUUGCAAAAUCAACUAAGUAAAGUUUGUCGUCUAAUACACCCUUAAAAGCUAGUGAACCAUCACUUCUUCUAAAGACAGACACAUCUACAUUUGUAAAUAGACAGUUAUAUCCCAUAUUGCAUAAUUGACUAACAGAUAGCAAAUUAUAUCCAAGAGACUCUACUAAAAACACAUUAGAGAUAGAGUGCUCAUUUGAGAUUGCAAUUUUACCUAACCCUUUUACCUUGCCUUGAUUCCCAUCACCGAAUAUUAUUGAAUCUUGGGAAUCUUUGUUUUUGACGUAGGAGGUGAACAUCUUCUUCUCCCCCGUCAUAUGGUUUGUGCAUCCGCUGUCGAUAAUCCAGCUUGAACCCCCGGAUGCAUAAACCUGCAAGGCAAAUUUAGGCUUGGGUCUUAUGUACCCAACUCAUGUUGGGUCCUACAAGGUUAGUGCAAAUAUCCUUAGGGACCCAAAUGCAAGUUUUGUCUCCCUUGCAUUUUGCCCCUAACUUCCUGGCAACUAUUUUCCUAUCCUUUCUACAAAUAGCAAAGGAAGCAUUUAAAGCACGAUAAAUUGUAGAAGGUUCAUUCAUUACUUUCCUAGGAGCAUGAAUAAUAUUCUUUCUAGGCACAUGAUGAAUAGCAUUUCUCCUAGACAUAUUUCUACCAUGCAUAUAGGAAGAACUAGAAGCAAACAUGGCAUGAGAAUCAAAAUCAUCAUAAGCAUUAUAACUCCUAUCAUGGUACAUAAAAGCAUGGUUCCUUUUAGCACUACUAGCCAUAGGAGCCUUCCCUUUCUCCUUGGCGGAGAUAGGAGCCUUAUGGCUUGUCAAGUCCUUGGCUUCCCUCUUGUAGCCAAGUCCAUCCUUAAUUGAGGGGUGUCUACCAAUUGUGUAGGCAUCCCUUGCAAAUUUUAGCUUAUCAAAAUCACUCUUGCUAGUCUUAAGUUGAGCAUUAAGACUAGCCAAUUCAUCAUUAAGUUUGGAAAUUGAAACUAGGUGUUCACUACAAGCAUCAAUGUCAAAAUCUUUACACCUAUUACAAGUUUCAACAAUUUCUACACAAGAUGUUGAUUUACUAGCUAUUUCUAACUUAACAUUCAAAUCAUCAUUAACACUUUUUAAUUUAGAGAUGGAUUCAUGACAAGUAGAUAAUUCACUAGAGAGCAUUUCAUUCCUUUUAAUUUCUAGAGCAAGAGAAUUUUGUGCACUAACAAAUUUAUCAUGCUCCUCAUAUAAAAGAUCCUCUUGUUUUUCUAGUAAUCUAUUCUUGUCAUUCAAAGCAUCAAUCAACUCAUUAAUCUUAUUAAUUUUAGAUCUAUCUAAUCCCUUGAAUAAGCAUGAGUAAUCUAUCUCAUCAUCAUCACUAGACUCAUCCUCACUUGAAGAAGCAUAAGUACUAGUAUCAUGAGUGCUUACUUUCUUCUCCCUUGCCAUGAGGCAAGUGUGACGCUCGUUGGGGAAGAGGGAUGACUUGUUGAAGGCGGUGGCGGCGAGUCCUUCAUUGUCGGAGUCGGAGGAGGAGCAAUCCGAAUCCCACUCCUUUCCGAUAUGUGCCUCGCCCUUGGCCUUCUUGUAAUGCUUCUUCUUCUCCCUUUUGUUCCCCUUUUCCUGGUCACUUUCAUUAUCGGGACAGUUAGCAAUGAAAUGACCAAUCUUACCACAUUUGAAGCACGAGCGCUUCUCCUUUGUCUUGGUCUUGCUUGGCUGUCCCUUGCGACCUUUAAGCGCCGUCUUGAAGCGCUUAAUGAUGAGGGCCAUCUCCUCAUCAUUUAGCCCGGCCGCCUCAACUUGCGCCACCUUGCUCGGUAGCGCCUCCUUGCUCCUCGUUGCCUUGAGAGCAAUGGGUUGAGGCUCAUGAAUGGGACCGUUCAACGCGUCGUCUACGUAUCUCGCCUCCUUGAUCAUCAUUCGCCCGCUUACGAACUUCCCAAGAACUUCUUCGGGAGACAUCUUGGUGUACCUAGGAUUUUCACGAAUAUUGUUCACCAAAUGAGGAUCAAGAAAGGUAAAGGACCUUAGCAUUAGGCGGACGACGUCGUGGUCCGUCCAUCGCGUGCUCCCGUAGCUCCUUAUUUUGUUGAUAAGGGUCUUGAGCCGGUUGUAUGUUUGGGUUGGCUCCUCGCCCCUUAUCAUCGCGAAUCGUCCAAGCUCGCCCUCCACCAACUCCAUCUUGGUGAGCAAGGUGACAUCAUUCCCCUCAUGAGAGAUCUUGAGGGUGUCCCAGAUCUGCUUGGCAUUGUCCAAGCCGCUCACCUUAUGGUACUCGUCCCUGCACAAAGAGGCUAGCAACACAGUAGUAGCUUGUGCAUUUUUAUGAAUCUGUUCAUUAAUAAACAUGGGACUAUCCGUACUAUCAAAGUGCAUUCCACUCUCUACAAUCUCCCAAAUGCUAGGAUGGAGAGAGAACAAGUGACUACGCAUUUUGUGACUCCAAAAUCCGUAGUCCUCUCCAUCAAAAUGAGGAGGUUUACCAAGUGGAAUAGAUAAUAAAUGAGCAUUAGUACUUUGAGGAAUACAAGAGUAAUCAAAAGAAAAGUUCGAAUUGACCGUUUUCUUUUUCUCGUGGUCGUUGUCGUCCUUUUGGGAGGAGGAAGAUUCGUCGCUGUCGUAGUAGACAAUUUCCUUGAUGCGCCUUGUCUUCUUCUUCCUCCCGUCUUUUCUUUUGUGGCCCGAGCCUGAGUCGGUGGGCUUGUCAUCAUUGGGCUCGUUGACGAAGGACUCCUUCUCCUUGUCGUUGAUCACCAUCCCCUUGCCCUUAGGAUCCAUCUCUUCGGGCGGUUAGUCCUUUUCUUGAAGAGAACGGCUCUGAUACCAAUUGAGAGCACCUAGAGGGGGGUGAAUAGGUGAUCCUGUGAGACUUGAAAACUUGAGCCACAAAACUUGGUUAAUCGUUAGCACAGUAAUUGCCAAGUGGCUAAAGAGGAAUCCUCAACAAAACACAAUAACCAACAAAGAUCAAUCACAGAGAUGGCACGGUGGUUAUCCCGUGGUUCGGCCAAGACCAACGCUUGACUACUCCACGUUGUGGCGUCCCAACGGACGAGGGUUGCAAUCAACCCCUCUCAAGCGGUCCAAAGACCCACUUGAAUACCACGGUGUUUUGUUUGCUUUACUCAAUCCCGUUUGCGAGGAAUCUCCACAAAUUUGGAGCCUCUCGCCCUUACACUUGAAAUUCACAAAGAACACGGAGCAAGGGAGGGAUUAGCAACGCACACAAGACACAAGAAUCAGAGUGUCAACACGCACACAAGUCGCAACAAGAGCUCGCAACACAACUCGAUGAGUUCACAACUCCACUAGAGCUCUAUGUGCUAUCACAAUGAAACGAAUGCGCGAAAUCAAUGUCUUGGUGCUUAGGAAUGUUGUAGGAAUGCUUGGUAUCCUUCUCCAUGCGCCUAGGGGUCCCUUUUAUAGCCCCAAGGCAGCUAGGAGCCGUUGAGAGCAAUCAGGGAAGGCAAUUCUUGCCUUCUGUCGUCUGGCGCACCGGACAGUCCGGUGCACACCGGACACUGUCCGGUGCCAGAUUUCUUUCCUUAAAUGGCGAAGCCGACCGUUGGCAGACCUGGAGCCGUUGGCGCACCGGACAGUCCGGUGCCCCCUUCUAGCCGUUGGCUCGGCCACGUGUCCCGCGCAGAUCGCGCGGCCGACCGUUGGCCCGGUCGACCGUUGGCUCACCGGACAGUCCGGUGCACACCGGACAGUCCGGUGAAUUAUAGCCGUACGUCGCCGGUAAAUUCCCGAGAGCGGCCACUUCGCUCGCACCAGCCUGGCGCACCGGACACUGUCCGGUGCACCACCGGACAGUCCGGUGCUCCCAGACUGAGCAGAGUCUUGGCUGCUCGAGCCAAGACAAUUUCAAUUGGAUUUUUCCUGUUUCCAACACUUAGACACAAUAAAUUAGUCCAUAAAACAAUGUACUAAGCCUGAGAAACAUACCUUUAAUCUUGAUUUGCACUUUGUCCAUCCAUGGGCAUAGAUUUACAUUUGAGCACUUGUGUUGUCACUCAAUCACCAAAAUACUUAGAAAUGGCCCAAGGGCACAUUUCCCUUUCAGGUAAAGAUUGUCCCUCUCGACCCCAGCAACGACGCCUGCAAGCAAGUCCGGAUCGGCACUGAGCUCGACCCCAAAUAAGAAGCAGUGCUCGUCGACUUUCUCCGCGCAAACGCCGAAGUUUUUGCGUGGAGUCCCUCGAACAUGCCGGGCAUACCGAGGGAAGUCACCGAGCACUCGCUGGAUAUCCGAGCCGGCGCCCGACCCAUGAAGCAGUCUCUGCGCCGUUUCGACGAAGAAAAGCGCAGAGCCAUAGGCGAGGAGAUCCACAAGCUGAUGGCUGCAGGGUUCAUCAAAGAGGUAUUCCAUCCUGAAUGGUUAGCCAACCCUGUGCUUGUGAAAAAGAAAGGUGGGAAAUGGAGGAUGUGUGUAGACUACACUAGUCUAAACAAAGCAUGUCCGAAGGCUCCCUACCCUCUGCCUCGCAUCGAUCAAAUUGUGGACUCCACUGCUGGGUGUGAAACCCUGUCAUUCCUCGACGCCUACUCAGGCUAUCACCAAAUCAAGAUGAAAGAGUCCGACUAGCUCGCGACUUCUUUCAUCACACCUUUUGGCAUGUACUGCUAUACUACUAUGCCAUUUGGUUUGAGGAAUGCAGGCGCGACAUACCAAAGGUGCAUGAACCACGUGUUCGAAGAGCACAUCGGCCGAACGGUCGAGGCUUACGUCGAUGACAUCGUAGUUAAGACGAGGAAAGCCUCCGACCUUCUCUCUGACCUUGAAAUGACAUUCAAGUGUCUGAGAGCGAAGGGCGUGAAGCUCAACCCCGAGAAGUGUGUCUUCGGAGUCCCCCGAGGCAUGCUCCUGGGGUUCAUCGUCUUCGAGCGGGGCAUCGAGGCCAACCAGGAGAAAAUCGCGGCCAUCACCAACAUGGGGCCUAUCAAAGACUAGAAAGGAGUACAAAGGGUCAUGGGAUGCCUUGCGGCUCUGAGCCGCUUCAUCUCGCGCCUUGGCGAAAAAGGCCUACCCUUGUACCGCCUCUUACGGAAGACCGAGCGCUUCACUUGGACCCCUGAGGCCGAGGAAGCCCUCGGAAACCUAAAGGCGCUCCUUACAAACGUGCCCAUCUUGGUGCCCCCCGCCGCGGGAGAAGCCCUCUUGAUCUACGUAGCCGCAACCACUCAGGUGGUCAGCGCCACGAUCGUAGUCAAGAGACGAGAAGAAGGGCAUGCACUGCUCGUCCAGAGGCCGGUCUACUUCAUCAGUGAAGUGCUAUCCAAGACCAAGAUCCGCUACCCGCAAAUUCAGAAGCUACUGUACACAGUAAUCCUGACGUGGCGAAAGUUGCGACACUACUUCGAGUCUCUUCUGGUGACUGUGGUGUCAUCCUUCCCCCUGGGGGAGAUCAUCCAGUGCCGAGAGGCCUCGGGUAGGAUAGCAAAGUGGGCAGUGGAGAUCAUGGGCGAGACAAUCUCGUUUGCUCCUCGGAAGGCUAUCAAGUCCCAAGUCUUGGCGGACUUCAUGGCUGAAUGGGUCGACACCCAAUUGCCAACAUCUCCGAUCCAACCGGAACUCUGGAUCAUGUAUUUCGAUGGGUCGCUGAUGAAAACAGGAGCCGGCGUGGGCCUGCUCUUCAUCUCACCCCUCAGGAAGCAUCUCCGCUACGUGUUGCGCCUCCAUUUCCCGACGUCAAACAACGUGGACGAGUACGAGGCUCUGGUUAAUGGGUUGCGCAUCGCCAUCGAGCUAGGGGUUCAGCGCCUCAACGCUCGUGGCGACUCGCAGCUUGUCAUUGACCAAGUCAUGAAGAACUCCCACUACCGUGAUCCGAAGAUGGAGGCCUACUGCAACGAAGUUUGAUGCCUGGAAGACAAGUUCUACGGGCUCGAACUCAACCACAUCGCUCGACGGUACAACGAUACUGCGGAUGAGCUGGCUAAAAUAGCCUCGGGGUGGACAACGGUUCCCCCGGACGUCUUCUCCAGAGACAUACAUCAACCCUCUGUCAAGACCGACGACACGCCCGAGCCCGAGAGGCCUCGGCCCAGCCCGAGGUAUCCUCGACCGCCAAGGGUGAGGCACUGCGCGUCGAGGGAGAGCAGAAUGGGGUCAUGCCUAAUCGAAACUGGCAGACCCCGUACCUGCAAUAUCUCCACCGAGGAGAGCUACCCCUCGACAAGACUGAAGCUCGGCGACUGGCGCGGCGUGCCAAGUCGUUCGUCUUACUGGGUGAUGAAAGAAAGCUCUACCACCGCAGCCCCUCAGGCAUUCUCCAACGAUGCAUAUCCAUCACCGAAGGACAGGAGCUACUGCAAGAGAUACACUCGGAGGAUUGCGGUCACCAUGCAGCACCUCGGGCCCUCGUUGGGAACGCCUUUCGACAAGGCUUCUACUGGCCGACCGCGGUGGCCGACGCCACUAGGAUUGUACGCUCCUGCCAAGGGUGUCAAUUCUACGCGAGACAGACGCACCUGCCCGCUCAGGCCCUGCAGACAAUACCCAUCACCUAGUCGUUUGCUGUGUGGGGUCUGGACCUCGUCGGUCCCUUGCAGAAGGCACCCGGGGGCUUCUCGCACCUGCUGGUCGCCAUCGACAAAUUUUCCAAGUGGAUCGAGGUCCGACCCCUAACAAGCAUCAGGUCCGAGCAGGCGGUGGCGUUCUUCACCAACAUCAUCCAUCGCUUUGGGGUCCCGAACUCCAUCAUCACCGACAAUGGCACCCAGUUCACUGGGAAUAAGUUCCUGGACUUCUGCGAGGACCACCACAUCCGUGUGGACUGGGCUACCGUAGCUCACCCCAUGACGAAUGGGCAGGUGGAGCGCGCCAACGACAUGAUUCUGCAGGGACUUAAACCGAGGAUCUACAACGACCUCAACAAGUUCGGCAAACGAUGGAUGAAAGAACAACCCUCGGUGGUCUGGAGUCUAAGGACGACACCAAGCCGGGCCACGGGUUUCUCGCCGUUCUUUCUAGUCUAUGGGGCCGAGGCUAUCUUGUCCAUAGACUUAGAAUACGGUUCCACGAGGACAAAGGCGUACGGCGACCAAAGCAACCAGACCAGCCGAGAAGACUCACUGGACCAGCUGGAAGAGGCUCGGGACGUGGCCUUGCUACACUCAGCGCGGUAUCAGUAGUCUCUGUGACGCUAUCACGCCCGAGGGGUUCGGCCCCGAGGCUUCCAGGUGGGAGACUUGGUACUUCGGCUGCGGCAAGACGCCCGAGUGCGCCACAAGCUUACUCCUCCCUGGGAAGGGUCGUUCAUCAUCACCAAGAUUUUGAAGCCCGGGACAUACCAGCUGGCCAACGAUCAAGGCGAGGUCUACAGCAACGCUUGGAACAUCCAACAGGUACGUCGCUUUUACCCUUAAGAUGUUUCAAGUCGUUCAUAUACCUCGUUCUCUUUACAUACACAAAUAAAGUCUAACCAUCAAGGAAGGGUCAGCCUUGCCUCGACAAAGCCCGACCCUCCCUCGGGGGCUAGAAGGGGGGAACCCCCUCUGCGUCAAAAUUUUCCUCGGAAAAAGUCUUUCUGCCAGAAUGUCUUUCGCGCUUUUCGACUGCUUCGAUAGCGGGAUCCUAAAAACGACGAGAGUACGCGUAAACGGCAAGGCCGACCGAGCCGAGGGACUCCUACGCCUCCGGGAUACGGAUACCUCACUCAUCACCUUCCGCGAUAAGUAACUCAUGCUCGGAUAAGCGAUUCUGCUAACCGAACAAGUCCUAACGCUCGAAAACUUUUCUGCCAGAACGAUUUUCGUGCCUUCUCGACUAUAUCGAUAACAGAAUCCUGCGGACGAGUAAGAGUACACGUAAGCGGCAAGGUCGACCGAGCCGAGGACUCCUACUCCUCCGGGAUACGGAUACCUCACUCAUCACCUUCCGCGAUAAGUAACUCUCGCUCGGAUAAGUGAUUCUGCUACCAACGAACAAGUCCUGAUAUUCUAAACAAGAGGAAAGGAAACACAGCUUUAUAACACGACAAUAAUAUGUUUGGGCCUCGGCGGCCGCGAAAAACAUACGCAUACUAUAGACAAACUGUUUUUGCAGGUUCAGACAUCGACAGAGGGAGCAGCAACACCCUCGGCGUUGUUUCCACCUUCGGCGGGAUCUGGCCCGGCCUCGGACGACGACUCGGGCGGAAGGAUCUCCACCUCGAAGGAAGACACCAGCACCGCGCUUGGGCCAUCGCAGCCAGGGUCUCCGCAAGGGUUCCGACCCGAGCAGACACCUCGACCGGCCGCUCCGUAGCCUCAGCCAGCUGUCCCCCGAGGGCCUCAGCCUGGCUCACAGCCUCGGCAGCGUGACUCUGAGGUUGGUCCCGCUCACGAACGACCUGGCCAAGCUCCAGCCGCCGCUGCUGCACCUCCUCGGUCUGGGAAGCCACCCGCCUUUGGGCCGACGAAGCCUCUUCUCGAGCCAACUCCGCCUCUGUCCAUGCCGACACCGCUGCCUCCGGCUCCAGCUCAUCGCAGAGCGGCCGAAGGUUCUAGAACUGAGCAAGAGAGGCCUUGAGUGGCAAGGCCGACCGAGCCGAGGGACUCCUACGCCUCCGGGAUACGGAUACCUCACUCGUCACCUUCCGCGCAGGGCAACUCACACUCAGUUAAGCAGUUCAGCUAGCCGACAGGCGAGUCCUCAUUAAGACCUCAGAGGAGUCAAACCACUCCUCUGAGGCCUUGGGGGCUACACCCGGCGGGUGCGCUCGCGCGCACCCACUGGAACAAAGUGUAACCGAGAAAGGCCGGUCCCCUCGCAAAAAAGUGCGGCAAAGCCUCCAAGCGAGUACCAGCACUCCCUUUGAGGCUCGGGGGCUACUGUCGGGUACCGUAAUUAGGCGUACCCCCAACACUCCUAAACACGGUUGGUAACCACCAUCAGCACAAGCUGCAGAGACUGAUGGGCGCAAUUCAGGUCAAGGCUUCGUCUACUCAAGGGACGCGAUCUCGCCUCGCCCGAGCCCAGCCUCGGGCAGAAACAGUAGUCCCAGGCGAAUUCACGCCUCGCCCGAGGGCCUCCUCAAGCAACGGGCAGGCUUCGUUGUGAAGCAACCUUGGCCAAAUCGCCUCACCAACCGACCGUAUCGCAGGCACAUUCAAUGCAAUGAUUGCCUGACACCUUAUCCUGACACACGUGCCUCAGUCGGCAGGGUCGAAGUGACCGCAGUCACUUCACCCUUCCACUGACCGACCUGACAGGAAAACAGCGUCGCUCGCCCCUCUCCGACUGUUGUGCCACCCACCAGGGUGAGGCUGACAACAGCUAAGUUCAGCCUCAGGCGCAACAGGAAGCUCCGCCUCGCCCGACCUUGAGCCUCGGCCUCAGGAGGAGGUAUCCGCCUCGCCCGACCCCAGGGCUCGGCCCCCGCCUCGGCCUCGAAAGGUGGUCUCCACCUCGCCUGACCCUAGGGCUCGGCCUCAACCUCGACCUCGGAAGGUGGUCUCCGUCUCGCCCGACCCCAGGGCUCGGCCUCAACCUCGACCUCGGGAGGAAUCGUGUCCUCGCCCGACCUGGCCUCGGCCUCAGGAGGAGUCUCCGCCUCGCCCAACCUUGGGCUCGGACCGACCGCGCCACGGAGGAUGCAUCAUUACCCUACCCCUAGCUAGCUCAGGCUACGGGGGAACAAGACCGGCGUCCCAUCCAGGCUCGCCCCGGUAACAAGUAAUGAUGGCUCCCCGCGUGCGUCCAUGACGACGAUGGUUCUCAGCCCCCUACGGAAGCAAGGAGACAUCAGCAAGGUCCCAGCAGCCCCGAUAGCUGUGGUUCUACAGGGCUCAAGCGCUCCUCCGACGGCCACGAUACCGCGUAUACAGGGCACUAGCACCUCUCCGACAGCCACGUUGGCAUGUACACAGGGCUCAGGCACCUCUCUGUCGGACAUGUUAGCGCAUAGCUACACCCCCAUUGUACACCUGGACCCUCUCCUUGCAUCUAUAAAAGGAAGGUCCAGGGCCCUCAUGCGGGAGGGUCGUCGCGCGGGAGGACGGGCUGACGAACAGGCUCUCUCUCUCUCUCUCUCUCUCUCUCUCUCUCUCUCUCUCUCUCUCUCUCUCUCUCUCCCUCGCGAAUGCUUGUAACCCCUACUGCAAGCGCAUCCCCUGGCGCAGGAUAACAGGAGCCGUGUUUUCCCCCUUGUGUUCCAUCUCGCGCCAACCCAUCUGGGCUGGGACACGCAGCGACAAUUUUACUCGUCGGUCCAGGGACCCCCCGGGGUCGAAACGCCGACAAAUACAUACUGCUCGAUUACGUGGAGGAAUCGAAGGUUGUCGCAUAGGACAGUUCAGCUAGGCCAGGGACCUGCCGACUUGACGGAGAGUUGAUGCAGAUCUGAUCUCGCAGCAACGUCGAGGUAGAGCGUGUUGAUAACGUAUUGAGAACUAUGUUACCACGAAUCACCAGAUCCGCUCCCUUCCCUCCCGUCAGUAGUAGAGGCGCGAGAAGUUGUAGAGGACCCGUCUCCCUUCCCAGAAGCACGACAGAGGAAACACAUGAGACACAGGAUAUAGGGUUGGGCCUCUGGCCUCUUUCUCUUCUCUUCUAUUAUGAGGGGUUGUACAAGUUCUUAUAUAGAGGUGUGAGACCCCUCAGGGGCAAAGCAGGUAUUUGCCCACAUAACCCUAACUAGGGUUACUUAACAAUUUUAUCUCUCUUCGCGCCGCAACCACAGGAAGCACGAAGCCAAAAGCUCGUUUUGUGGCCCGGUUCGAGCCCAUCCCGGCCCGGUCUAUAUGGGCCUAACCUGUCCCGGCACGAAUAAGUGGGCUAGACCUAGAUAACAAAAUAAGUCGUUGUCCCGACUCGUUUAGCACUUGGCCCGCUUUUUUACUAAAUCGUCCUCACCAACCCGUUUUUGGCCUGCUAUUUUCAUGCUUACCAGGACAGUACGGACCGUUUAGGCCCGCUACGGGUCGGACCCGUGCAGCAAAACGAGACCGUGGGCUUGGUAGGUCUAGCCCACUUUUCUAAACGUUCCUGGCGGAUCGGGCCCGGCUGCCAGGCCGUGCUUCACCGAGCGACCCAUUUGGACAUCUAUAGCUGCAACUAGGACAGCACACGCCAUAACGUUUUCCCCUCCCAUUCUCCUACACGUGGCCAAUGGGUCGUGCCAAUUCAAUCGGGCUGAGGCAUUGCGCGAAUAAAUACCGAGUCGUGUCGUGCCCGUUCGUGGGCCGAAGUUUGAGCCCAAACACGGCCCGACUAGUUUUAAACGAGUCGUGUCGGGCUAUCAUAUCGUGUCGUGAUACUGUGCCACGCGCUCCAAGGCCCACCUUGUAACAGAGCUCGAAAAUAACUUGUUUUUCCCUGCUUUUGCUUAUUUUCCUCAUUUUUUGUAAUAGAACUCGAAAAUAGCUUAAAAGUGAGGAUCGAGUUGGUCAUAUUUAUAUAUUUAUAUAUAUAUUGUGGACUAGAUUAGAACAAGUAAGUAUGUACCAUAAACAAGUCGUGCUAGGCUGUCUUUGGUUUGAUAGGCUAUCCGUGGCUAACAUCGUGCUAACUGGGCCCACAUUAAAUGGGCCAUGCUCGUGCCGACCAAUAAGCUUGUACCUAAGCCCAAACAUGACCCAUGACGAGUCUCGUGUCGGUCCGACACAGUUACUAUUGUGCCAUAUUUUGUUCGUGUCAUGCUAAAAUGGUCGUGCCUCGUACCGGUCCGUAUAGCCUGACCUAGAGAUGUCCAAAUGGGCCGCCCGGUCCGGCCCGGCCCGGGCCCGGUGAAGCCCGGCCCGGCCCGGGCCCGGUGAAGCCCGGCCCGCCAGGCACGGGGGCUCAAUUUCCUGUUCGAGCCCGGCCCGCAGCGGGCCUAAACGGGCCGGGCCGACCCGUUUAGCACGAAAAAAAUGGACCGAAAAACGGGCUAUGCGGGCCGGUAAGCACGUUUUAGUGUAAAAAAGCGGGUUUAAUGGGCUUAGAGGUAAACGGGCCGUGCUGGGCUAGCCCACCGUGCCUAGUUUUUGUCCGAGCCCGGCCCGCUUAUUCGUGUCGGGCCGGCCCGGGCCCGUAUAAAACCGGGUCGUGCCAGGCUCAAAUAACGGGCUUCGUGCCGGGCUCGCAGGCCUCGUGCUUAUUGGACAUCUAUAGCCUGACCCAUCUGGUCACAUGUACCCUCUCCCUUCUAUCUUCCCGUGGAGUAGUAGGCUGGUAGCAUCAUUGUAGGUGGGAGGAACAGAGCAUAUAUCUCAUGACCCAUUUCAAAUAGAGUGGAGAAAGUUGAGCGUAAAGAGGCAUAUAUGUUUGUCACCAGAUACAUCUCGUGAGCCUAGCUAGCUUCCAGAUGGCUACGUUUUUAUCGCGAAUUGUGCGUAUGGCCAGAUAAUAAGAGCAACCACUUGUGCGUAUAUAUGCUGUAUGCAUGUAGCAUAUUGAUGUUUGCUAGCUUACGACAGUAUAGCUUAUCACACGUAUACAUUUCCUUCCUGUGCACAACAAUAAAUAUACCAAGCAAUUAUUAUUAUGUGCUUUCAUGUCUGUAUUUUAGACGAAAGGUUUUAUGGGAACUGUAUUGUGUAUUUUCCAUGUGGAAUCUAAAGCCAGCCCAGUUUUUCCUUGACCAUGGAUUCAACAUAAUCUUGACCACCUUUGUGAUGUCGCUGUACACCUACCACUACUACUAGGAGCCUAGCAGGACAAUUAGCUGCUUUUAGGACUACCGAGAUUCGGCACAAUCUUGGCUACCUGCUUUUGUCACACUCUCAUAGUACCAGGAGUUUAAUUCACCUACUUAUAGGACUAUCAUACUAUCAUGAUACAUUGAUACUAUGCAUGGGGCGUAUUUGAGAAGGGUUGCAGACUUUAUGAUUUUAUUUGGGACUAGUUUUGAAACGCAAAUCGUCUUUGAGAUUGAAGAGAAUUGGAGAGGAAAUUAGUUAAUUUUUACCUUAAUCUCCUCCAAUCCUGAAGGGGAUUUGAGGUUCUCAAAUCAGCCCUUGAUGUGGUUCUGCUUUCACACAUCUACCGUUUUAUGUUUAUGCAGCUUUGGGUUUUAUUCAUCCUCUUUCUAUAGUUUCUUGGCUAGGGCAUGCAUGUCAGGAUCAAUAGUGGACAUGGUAUUACAUACUGAAUAUGGAUAUGAGAUAAUUUGAAAAAAAGAACAUCUGAAUAUUUUUAGAUAGACACAGACAAAGUCACUAGAAGUUGAAUUACAAUAAUAUCUGUAUAUUAUUUCUACUACUACUAAAAGGUUUACUGUAGCCAUAAAUCGUCAGACUAAUGGAAAUGACAUGUUCCUUUUUACAAGUUGCCAUUUGAAUCCUUAACUGAAACGGUCAAACGAGCUUGUUCGGUUACAUCAAAAUCCAUUUUAAAUUGGAGGGGACUAGACGUGGGUUUCAAUCUAUAGCAAGUCUAAAUUCUUCAUAAUUAUUUUUAAUACCUUCCAAUCCAUGAGGCAUAUAUACGAGCAACAAGCCCUUUGGUGUUUAAACUUUUACCCAUCUUUGCCUUCUAGGAUAUUUUGGCUUUAGUAAAAAAGCAGCCGUCUUAGAGCAGCACAGCUACGUAUACACGUUUUAGAAAUUAUCAAAUACGGCAUAUCAACUAAUAGUGUUGGUAUGAGUUAAACAACUCCAGCGUGUGAACUCGAUCACUUUCUAGGCUCAGAUGAAUCCCAUGUGUUAAUAAAUAAAAUAUCUCAUCACCCUCGUAACUUUCUCUUUCUGCGGUUAAUCUGUGUUAUUAGGACAAAACAUAUCGCUUCACUUAUAUGAUUAGGUUUGGGUGCAAAAUGGAGCACCAAAAACUAAGGUGGUGAGACUGAGACCAACCCUAGAAUCGUAUAUGUUCUGCUGGCACCACCCUCUAGCACCUAAUGCAAUGCUGCAGCUAGCUAGCUACUCUCUAAUAACACUUGCUUCUAAACAGGUCCUUAAUUAGAGAAUGGAAGUGUUAUAAUGUGAGAGUUGCUUCUACGACAAUAGUCUUAUCUAUGCUAAGAAACUGUGUAGUGCAAUACUGCAAUAUGGUUGGCGUUUCUGCUGCAAUAUAGCUAGUCUCCCGUGCGUUCGAUGUUCCACGUGUUUUUUUUUCUCAUUCUGCAUGCCAUGCCAGCAUGUGAUUUCUGAAGGACGGGAUGGGAUGUUGUUUGUGCCGAUACAUGGACCUGCUUUAUUUCCCUAUUGCUCUUCGCUAGCGUCCAAUUAAUUGCAGGAGAUCCAUGGAUGCGACCUCCAUGCCAGUUGGGACACCGAUCUGAUGAUUCUCAUCAUAGUCUCUUCUCCGAUCGAUCCUAUAUGCUACUAGUGGCCGGGGGUUGUUCUUGGUGUCUACUAGGUGUUGGUGUCAUCGUAGAUAGGCCAGCCAGUCAUCGCCAUCGGCGAAAGCUUCGCCUCGGCGUGCAGUGGCACGCAGCGCGUACAGUAGGGCAGAUGAAGGAGGACGAUGGAUGGAGUGGUCUGAAAAGAAAAGAAAAAAAGAAAGGAAAGAGAUGAAUGAACAGGGAAAAGUCACUUACCGUCCUGCGGCAGGAGAUGAGGUUAGGCCCUGGAGCUCUGUCAUGGCACAACGCCCCCGCCGGCGAUGCGCAUCCCGUGAGCCGCUCACAGGCGCGCGAUUUGGACACCCGGCCCCGCUGCUCGAUCCAUGCAUGCAUCCUCCGAUCCAUCCUCGUCCAGCAGCUGGCUGCUCGAUCCCCAACUGUACGCGUAUGCACGCCAAUGGCAGAGACGACAGCCGAUCGAUGAAUCUGCAAGAGGGUUGCAAGUGUGUGUACGUCAGUACUCACGACAGAUAAUCACUGAUCGUUCGGAAGAUCGACAUCGUGGCGUUGCACUUUACCGGACGAAUAAAGCUAGGAGCAAAGAUCUGUAGAUCAAAUCAAAGCGAACAGGGGAUAUUUCGAUCCCGUGGGGAAGAGACGCACUUUUGGCGAGAGUAACAAUCUCCUGGCCCUAGUUGCUCGAGCGUCGUCAGGAGGUUCUUCCCCUCUCCCUUUUCCGCACACAGGAUUUGCAGCUAGAGAGACGGAGCCGAUUUUCCUGUGAUACUACUACUACUCAGAUACUGUGGGCGCGGGACCAACCCUGCCGCCGGCGCCGCGCCUAUAAAUAGGCCCCCCCGGCCGGGGAGGCGUCGCCACCCACAGCCGCCCAGCCCGUGCGCGCACGACAGUACAAUUAAGUAGGUGUACGUGUGAGUGAUAGCCAUAGCCUAGCUACCCGUGCGAAGUGGCUAGCUGACUGAUCGCUCAGGCUAACUGCCUGCCUGCCUCUUCUUCUUGCGGUAGCGGCUGUAAGCACGCGCGACACAGUGUAACAGUCGGUCGGUCGGUUCGGUUAAAAAGAAGAAGCUUCGACGGCAGAGGCCGUUCCGUACGUCGUCGUUGCUCGCAAUGCCUUGGCGUCUAGCUAGCAGACAGACGGACGCCGCCGCCCCCACGGUAAUGAUCGAUCGUCGUGUCGAUACACGGACACUGCUGCAUGCCUAUAUGCAUGCAUGCACCGGGCCACCGCCGUAGUUCCAAGCAAGUUAAGUGGCUUGAUUUGUACUGUACUGACCUGGACGAGUUGCGUGCUUUUGCAGCGGUGGGGCUCGUCGGAGGGCGGUGACCCGGCGGCGGACGGCGGCGGCGGCGGCGGCGUGGAGGCGCGGAGCGUGCGGUGCGAGUGCUGCGGGAUGGCGGAGGAGUGCACGCCCACGUACAUCGGGCGCGUGCGGGAGCGGUUCCAGGGGAAGUGGGUGUGCGGGCUGUGCGCCGAGGCCGUCAAGGAGCGGCAGGCGCGGGAGCCCGCGCUCGGCGUGGGCGGCGCCGUGGCGGCGCACGCGGCCAUGUGCGAGCGCUUCAACUCCACCGUCCGCCUCAACCCCAAGCUGUCCCUCGCCAGCUCCAUGCGCGACAUAGCGCGCAAGAGCAGCAUGCGCCGGACGAGCCGGAGGAACAGCAUCAACGGCGGCGGCGGCGGCGGCGGCGGCGGCGGCGGCGGCGGCGCCACCGCCACGCCGCUGUCCGCAUGCGGCUGCGACAAGCUCAGCCGCUCCAGCAGCUGCGCGCUCCCCUACGUCUGACACCGGAGAGCAUGCGCGAGCGCGAUCGGCCUCGACGGUGGCGGCGGCGGCGGCAUGCUGCGUCUGCGCUGCUGCCUGCUACUUUACGGCCGGGGGCCUUUAUUAUUACAUAUAAUACAUGCAUGCAUGGACGCAUAUAUAUAGCCCAACGUACUAUAUAUAUAAGUGUUGUAUAGUGGAUACGUACCACUGUCACGCGGCCUACAUGCUGCCAGCGGGACGCAUCAUCAUGGACAUGGUAUAUAUUCAGGUCAGCUACUAGUAGGUAGCAUGCACACAUCCAUGCAUGCUACCGACCAGAAGGAUAUGCAUCAUAGUUGUACGUACUUUGUACGUAUUAGGUAGCAUGAACACAUCCAUAUAUCCAUACUGUUGUAUUAUACUCCAGCUGCGUACUGUGAUGUAAGUAUAUAUAUACAAACAUACGUUUGUUCUUGUUCGUCGACUUGGUUCGCAUCCGAUCCAGGUACUAUAUAUUUACAUGUUCAACCUCCGUGUCUCUGAGUCGACUUGCUACGUACUGUAUGUGCAUUUCAGCACAGACCCGGGUUGUGUUGGCGACUUGGUGUUGACUCCAGACAUUAUGGUCUUACGGAAUGAAGCCAGGCUCGCAAAGCGUAACUGGGUCGGGCUCGUAUUGGGCCAAGAAACUGAAGAGGAGGCUGUACUGUGGUGGGCCAAAACAUGAGGCGUGAAAGAGGAUCAUAGUCAAAUUCUGAGCAGGAGUAACUUGCUAUUACUAAUAAUGGACGAAUUGAGCUCAACUCAAAAUGUUUUUUGCUCACACACAGCUUAUAUAUGGCCGAUAUGCCCCGCGCGGCCGCCGGCAUGGCCUCAACUUAAGGAUAGUGCGGGAGUGUCAGGGCAUCUGAUAUGUCCUCGAGAAAAAAAGUAGUUUGGCACAUCAUCGUAGUUUAGAGGGGAACAUGUGACUUCAGGCAAAAGGAGGGUGAUGCUUCUGAAACUGGGCUUACAGCAGCCUAUAUAUACCUUCCAUUGACACAGUGUCCUAUGAAGAAAUUCCAAAAUACUUUCAAGGAACAACUGAUGCUAUUAAAAUGUGGUAAAUUAAUCAUGUACUUUUUAAUUUUUAUAUUUUAAGUUAAAAAAAUUGUGCCUCACUCUGGGCCCUAGCCCAGGUGCCCACAGCCCUGUAUCUUGUGUGUGUACGCUUGAUUUGGGCCUAUGAUUAAGGGUCCGUUCGUUUGUAACGGUUUCAAUCCUAGCCUGAACCCUUCCAGGGCAAGGAUCAAGUGAAUUCAGUUGGUUCACUGAAACCUGGUCACCAGUGAAAUUCAGACAUGAACGAAAAUUGUAGAACAUAUGAUGGUUGUUUGUUUCAAGCAGGAAUAGAAACACUUGUUUCACAACAAAACUGAUAUUAUCUCGUGACGUGUAGUUGUCUCGCCUCGCCAAGAUUCGAUUCGGAGGGGCACGCGACCGGGAUUGGUACCGAGCCUGCGAGGGAAGGAGAAACUCUGAACCGAAGCAGAUUCGUUUUUAAUUCGGAUCGAAACAAACAGUAAGAAAUGGAACGACCCAAGUACAAAUCGGGCCGAUUGUUUCCAUCUGGAAUGAGGCUUGGAACAGACUGAACCGCCAGAAACGAACACGCCGCCCUAAGUUGGUAGAAGACUCAACAGAAACUCUUCCACGGAGAGCCUAACCUUAUCAGAAUCUUUAUUCACUUGCAAACUAACCCGUGACAAAAUAUGAUUGAGGGCAUAUUUGUAAAGACGAGCACCAAAAAACUAGAGCAGGAGCAUCUAAAUUAGGUUGAUUAGGAAACCUUAUGGUGAAAACCUAGACUCUAGUACUUGGAACAAAGAAAUGAGUGGGGGCAUGUGCCCUCACUCGGUCCUACUUAUUGAUUACAGUAACAAGACACCGGACAAAUUGAAGUGUGGCUGGACAUGUUUGGUUGAGACUUUACCUUAUGCAAGUUUGACCAAUUUGACAAGUGUUUAGUUCACAACUGAACUUUUGCAAUAUUAUUGUAGAUUCCAUAUAUCAUAGAGUAAAAAGGUAUGGUAAAAUUCUUUUAGAGCUAGUUUGAGAAACCCAUUUUUCCAAGGGAUUAAUAUUUUUUCAAGGAAAAUUAAUUCAUUUUCCUUGGGAAAAUAGGGUUCCAAACUAGCUCUUAGUCAUAGCAAAUAAAUGUGGCUCCAAAUUUUCUACCACACUUCUAUGACCUGGCAGACUUACCUAUUUUGAGUCGUGGUAAAUUGUAGCUAGAACCAAACACGCUGAAAAUUCUGCCCAACAGACAGGUCUGUGUAAUCUCUUGCUGAUCAGUCACUCACUUGGUCAUCACCCCGGCGGGCACCUGUCGCCGUUAUGGGUCUAGAUCCAGACAGACUUCAAUGAGCCAAGCAAAUAUCUGGCUGAAGCUUACACUCCCCAGGAAAAAAAAACAGUAUCCAAAUUGUGGAGCCAUACACGCAAUGCAUGUUUUACAUGCCUGGAUUUAGGAGUAGACAUUUGUAGAGUUAGUUGCACACAACUUUCAGCAAGAAUCUGAGUCGUUAUUGCUUAACAAACUGUAUCGAGUAUGACAGAAACUUCGAGCUGUACUGUGCAUGAGCAAUAUACUUGGGGAAGCGAAGAGUAUUUUUGUAAUCGUGUUUUUAUUACAUCAAAAUUGAUUCAGGGUUUUGUUGAAUCCUGAGGGAGUGUAGGCUCGUAUGAUUAGGGAUGGAGGCUACCACGUUGACGGGAAGAUCAGUCGGGGCUGCACAAAUCGAGCCUGCUGCACUUCUGCCUGGAAGAAGAAAAUGCUUGUUGAGCAGAGAAUUAACUUUUUAAAAUGGCAACAAAGAAGGUGGCGGAUGUGGCGCACGAGCGCCGUAUAACAAUUUGAAACGGCCACCGUUAAUGUCGCCUCCUGCUGCCUUUAAAUACCUUUCCCUCCCACCUCCUCUCCAGUCAUUCGUUCCAUCCCUUCACCACACACACACCGUCGAUUCCUGGGCGACAAGGCCACACACGAUCGCCGGCAGUUUCCGAAACGAGAAAAAGGAAGAAACAGGAGGCGAGAGAUCGAGAUCGAUGAGCAGCGGUCAGUCGUCGCCAACGGAGGCAAGCGGUGGACCGCCAUGCCCCUCCAAGAAGCUGUGGCGCGGGGUGCAAGCCGUCUACCUCGUCCUCGUCAAGAAGCACCAGCCGAAGCUCGCGGCGCUCGGCGUCCACAUGCACCGCCUCCUCUCCAGCAGCAAGCGCCGCCGCCGCCUCGCCGCGCGGGGGCGGGAGCAGAACCCGGCGCUGACGUACAUGUCGUGCCGGUCCAUGGACCCCGCUGCCGCGGUGGUGCACCCGUAUCCGCACGGCCACGGCCGCGCGUCGUCGAGGCUCGCGGCCCCGUCGUCCCUGUCGUGCCGGUCCUUGGACCCCGCCGCCGCCGUGCGCAGCAAGUACCAGUACCGUCCCCGCGAGGUGGAGUUCAGCUGCAAGAGCACGCCGAUGCACACGCGCCGGCGCCGCCUGCGCCUGCAUCAGAGCCGCGGCCACCCGUCGGAGCCGGAGCCGGAGCCGGAGCGGCACGUCUCGGCCGCGGCGGUGACGAGGCUGUUCGCGCUCAUGGACGACGUCGAGGUCGAGGAGGCGGCGGACGGCGAUCUGGGGCUGGGCCUGGACGCCCCGGCGCCGCGUCAGGUGCGGAUCACGGACUCGCCGUACCUGGCGAGGGAGGAGGACAAUAACGAGGAAUUGAGGAGCGCGGUGGACAGGCGCGCCGGCGAGUUCAUCAUGUGGUUCCACGAGCAGCUGCGGACGCAGCAGCAGCACGGGCAGCUGGGUCAGAUAAGGUAGGGGCGCAGAAGAGAAGCAGUGCCAUUGCCGCCUCUAGUCUAGUCUUAUGGUUUUGUUGUGAUUGUGAUUAUUAGUCAUGUAUGCAUGGAUUACGUGUAUUAGAUAAGGGUACAUUCCUUGGAGGAGAUGCGAACAUUUUCAUACGGCAGUAGUACUUUUUUUUUCCUUUCAUGUAUAUGAAUUGCAGUGCUUGAUUUUUUUUAUUUAUUUUUUGCUACCUUCAAGAUCGACUUGAACAAUAAUGAACACAACACUCGUUGCAUUGGACUUGUUUGUCAUUCUUUCAGUUUUUCUUAUUAGGACUUGCUACUUGGGUUCUACGUUUCCAUGCAUAUAUAUAUAGGUGAGGGCUAAAUGUGUGCUGAAAUAAACGCAUUUUAUUUGUGUUUAGGAUUGCCGGCCCGAUGGAGGAGUUGAGUGGGCUCGGUUUGGUUCCGGUGUUGUGGAAGAAAACCGCAGUUUUAAUUUGCAGUCAAUUUUGUCGCCUAUAAAUAAUGCUGGUGUUGCAGAGGAAGCCGCGUGCAUGCUUUCCUGAAUGAAAUUUGCAUUGCACUGGAAUUUGUGUCGGCUUCAGGGUAACCCACGUACGUUGGUACGACACAUAAACAACAGCAAGUGAACAAGGCACUGCCUCCGUUGAUCAUUUCCGAUCUGCGAUCCCUAGCUAGCAUUUGAGCACCAACCAAGUGAGGAAAUAAUUGAGCAGGUUUGGAGAAAGAAAUUCAGGGCUUUGGAGAGGAAGAAUUUGCACGAUAUUUGGCCCAAGUCGUGAACCAGCACACGUCGCGUCAACCAUCGUUGUCGCUACCUAUCGCCAGCAUCAUUCAUUUCGUUGCAGAGACGCGCCACCAGGCACAGUUCAACCUUGGCUGCCUCCCAGUCCCAGGAGUUGAUGAGCGGAAAGGGAUCGGCACAACUGGAUACCGCGCAAGCUAGGACGCGUUGCUCUCGGCACGCGCUGGGCCGGAACGCGGUCUCGGACGCAAAAGCGAACGGCUAGACAGACACGACACGACCCGACCCGACCCAAACCCGGGAUGAAGAAAUGCCAUUCAAACAGCCACCACAAAGCAAUCCUAGCUUGUUCGAAAGCAACGUCCGAAAUCUGCAACUGGUUCCAGUUCCAGAUUUGCUCCUGCUGCGUUUCAUAGAAAUGCCGCGCAACAGCAUCGGGUGCAGCUGGCUGGAACUCAGAACCAGGGACCAGCGCGUAGCAGAUUACAGUUGCUCACGGUGUCUGCACCAUUUUCUAGGGCGGAAAUGUUCGCAUGUGGUCCUGUCAUCCAUCCGGCCUGGCCACCGAGACGUCGGUCGGACCUGCUGUUCUACUACCCGGGCCAGCCUUACAGCUCCUGGCGGAUAAAUAGAACGACGCCGCGACGACCGGGAGCCGGAGGAGAGGGACGAGGGCGGCGGAGGAUGCCUUCUCUUCUCUCCGCUGGGAAAAUUCAAAAGGUUCAAAGAACAGGAAAAAAAAUAAAAGUUGAAAGAAAAUUCAAAAAAUCAAAUCGCCCACCGUGGGGCUCGAACCCACGACCACAAGGUUAAGAGCCUUGCGCUCUACCGACUGAGCUAGACGGGCAUUUUGCUUUAGAGCAUUACACAAGGCUAUUAGUUCAAUACCGCACCUGUAUAUUACAGUGAAAAAAAGCUAUGUGAAUAUCUAUAUAAACGAUAACAAAAAACAGUACGUAUACAUUCUACCCUUUCUAUAAAAUUUUAAUAGUUAUAAUCUAUUUUAUAUUAAUAAUAGUAUCUUUAAUAUAACUUAACAGCUCUUGGUAGUAACUCAACAUUUUUUUAUAAGCAUAUAUCAAACUAAAUAUUAUAAUUUCGAUAGUUUUUUUUCUGUUGCAAAGUACAGAAAUAUUUAUCGACAAAUAUAUUUUAGAUACUAUCUGUCUCUCCGUACAAUCAAAUAUCGAGUCUUGUGGCUUUUUUUAGGCUCUAUACAAAUAUGUAGUUUUAAUAGCCAACUAAAGUUGGUAUCGUGUUAGUUGUGGACAUGUCAAUGAUUAAGACUGCAGAAAGAACGGGAUAGAACAAACCGGAACGGAGGUACUUGUGUAAAACAAAGUCGUUCACGUCGGACGGCUACAUAAGCUGACGCGCAAGUGUUAGCGUCCAUGGAGGAGCUGGAAGAAUGCUGAAUGGAGAAGUGGAUCACGGGACGGCUCCCAGGAGAGCCCAGCGAGUGAGACGGCCCAACAUCCGUUAUUCGGGAGAUGAGUGGUCCAAGUGAAUUUGGAGCCCAAGUGGCCCUGUAAACACAUACGUGUAAUAAGGUGACUUGGCCGAGGGGAAAGACCUCAGACCACGAACAGAACUGAACCAGAACACGGCUGUGACGACGGCGGCGAUCAGUUUUGACGCUGGCCGGAGUGAAACUGUGAGCGUGAUAUCGUGAGUCUAACAUCUGGUAUUCGGAGCGAGGCUGGAGCCCACGCACGACUACUUCACCCGAGCUCAGGCGAAGGGCGUAGCAAUGGCGCCGCCGCGGAACGAAGACCCGAUGGCGCAGAUCAUGGCUAAAAUUGAGGAAGGUAACAAGGAGACCCAUCGGCGUAUGGAGACCGUCCAAGCCUCCCUGGCAACAGUUGAGGCGACGAUGAAAGGCAUGAUAAAGGAACAAGGUGAAUUCCGGAAAUGGCGACCGGAGGUGGAGAUGAAGGUCACGGAGGUGGCAGAGGCGUUGAAGACAAUCCAGGCAAAGGUGGAUCAAUUCGGACCAUCAUCAUCGACGGAGCCCCUUCCUGACGGGAAACAAACGAAGAAGGGUGUGCCGAUCUCCGUUCAACUGGAGAUCCCGCCGGUCGACGCGACGAACGGGCAAUUUCGCCACCGCUUUGCUGAAAACCACCGGAGGCCGGGUGUUGAGGAGAAUCUCCGAACACCCGCUCCGGUCGGAGGUAUGCCAAUCCCUCCUGAGACCUUUACUCCGUUCUUCGAUUGGGGAUCAUUAGGCCGGAACUCAGUAGCCAAUUGGUCACAGAUGAGUGGCCCAACUAUGCCCAAUAUGGUGUUCCCUGUUUUUUAUGGAUCCAACCCAAAGCUCUGGAAACACAGAUGCGAGACCUAUUUUGAUUUCUAUGCUGUGCCUUUUGAGAAAUGGGUUAGAAUUGCUACUAUGCAUUUUGAGGGUCCUGCCAUGUAUUGGGUUCAGUCUAUGGAGCACAGAAUCAGGGAACUGAGUUGGGAAGCGCUCUGUGCUACGCUGAACACUAGGUUUGGUAGAGAUCAGCAUAACCUGCUUAUUAGACACUUCUAUCACAUCCACCAAACCAACUCAGUAGCUGAAUAUGUAGAACAAUUCGACCAGCUUAUGCAUCAAUUAUUAGCCCAUGAGAACCACCUCACUUCCACUAUGAUCACUGGUCGGUUUGUAGAUGGGUUGAAAGACGAGAUUAAAAGUGCUGUAAUUAUUCAGCGUCCAUCCGAUUGGGAUACUGCUUGUUCCCUGGCUUUAUUGCAGGAGGAUGUGCUGCUGCACUCGGGGCGAAGAGAUGGUCGAAGAACUGAAUUUGGUGCUUAUUCCAGCCGACCGUCAGUUAAGCCAACGCCUAUGCCACUACCCUUACCACCAUUGGGGGGCAACAGGGCGGUGAGCAACACUGAAGAACGUCGAGGCCAUGGACCACAACAAGGCAGAAGAGAUGAGGGCAAGCUAUCAGCUCUGAAGGCGUACAGAAAGGCUAAAGGACUGUGUUUCAAGUGUGGGAACAAAUGGGGCUAUGAACACCGCUGCUCAACUAAUGUUCCUCUGUACUUGGUGGAAGAAAUGUGGGAAUUGGUUGUCAAUGAAGAGGAGAAGCUGGAGGACUGUAUCGGGGACAGUAAGGAAACUAAUGAAGACAGUGUGCUAGCAUUGUCUGCUGCUGCUGCUGAGGGUGGUGAGGGCAGCAGGACUAUCCGACUUUGGGCUUCAGUUUAUUGUCAACAAUUGCUGGUGCUAGUAGAUUCAGGCAGCUCUGCUAGUUUUCUGGGAAGUCACUUGAUGAAUGUCUUACCAGGGAUUCAGCUGUUGACCAAGCCAAUGCAAGUUAAAGUAGCAGAUGGGGGAAUUCUUUGGAGCCAACACUGGUUGCCAAACUGCAAAUGGUUGUGUGGAGGCACCACUUUUACAACGGAUUUCAAAUUCAUUCCCCUAGGGGGUUACGACAUGAUUCUUGGCAUGGACUGGCUAGAACGCCACUGUCCUAUGUCAGUUCACUGGGCUGCAAAAUGGAUGGAGUUUGAUUAUGAUAAGAAGAGAGUUCACGUGCAGGGUGUGUUACCAAAGGUUCAGACCUGUUACAGCCUGAACGGGGAACAGUUGGGUUUCAUGAUAAAGCAAGAAGCAGUGCAACAUUGGUUGGAAUUGCAGACUGUAACUGAAUUGAUUGUUAAAAAUACCCCAGAAGCUGUGCAGAAAUUAUUGGAACAAUAUCAGCACUUGUUUCUCCGGCCAGACAGCCUGCCACCGAAAAGACAGGUUGACCACGCCAUUGAAUUGUUACCUGGAGCACAACCAUUUAGGCUUCGACCUUAUCGGUACACCUGUAAUACUCAAAAGUGAAAUAAAGGGAUUGAUAUAAUCUCAAUAGCUU
Molecule: long non-coding RNA, 67939 nt
Filed under: Zea mays
Lineage: Eukaryota; Viridiplantae; Streptophyta; Magnoliopsida; Poales; Poaceae
Description: long non-coding RNA (ZMAY_LNC004996)
Source: RNAcentral